UUUUUUUUUGUUUUUUGCAAUGAAUCUAAUCAUCUCACCAAUGCUUGUUUGUGUGUUUGUGUAUGUAUAUAUAUGAUUGCAGACUUUCCUUCAAAGCAAUGAUGAGGCUUUGAAAAUCUUCAAGGACCAUGCUGAUAGUUAUAUUUGCUCUGUGCUUCCUCAAAGUCCUUAUUUCAAAGUACCCAAGACUCCAGGUCUCUACUUCACUUCUCCAUCAUCAUGUUUGCUUUUCAAAAAGAUUGAAAACUAACCGAGUACUAAUCUGAAAUAAGGGAAUGGAUUGGUUUACUCAUGAACUGGCAGUUGAAUCGUUUUUUUUUUUUAUUAUUUAAAUAUUUUUAUCAGUGGUGGAUCUUAGGACUAAGUUUUUAAAAAAAAUUUAAGAAUUUUAAUAAGAUUUUUUUUUUAAAAAAUUGAGGGUCUAAUUAAAAAUUUAAAUUUUUUUGUGAAACUAAUGAGAACUUUUAAGAAGGCUUAAUUAAGAAAAAAAGGUAUAAUGAAAAUUUUCAGUAAAUUGAAAACGCCUAAUAAAAUUUUCUAAAAAUUUCAAGGGAAAAUGAAAAUUUCCAAAAAUUGGGGGUCUAAUUAAUUUUUAUUUUAAAUUUUAAGGGGAAAUGAAAUUUUCCUAGAAUUUGGGGACGAUUGGUCACCAUUACAGUUUCAUUUGAUUAUUAUGAUUUUAAAAUAAUUUAUUCAAUUGAACCGAUAGACGAACCAAAAAUUAAUGAUUUGAUCAGUUUAAUUAUUGGUUCCGUUUUGAAAAAUCUUGGUUGAUUAAUGAAAAUAUGACAAUUUAUAUAUUUCAGGUGGUUUGAUCCAUUUAAGAGAUGGAGCUAACCUCCAAUACGUUACCGGAGUUUCUUUCCUCUUCAGUAUCUACGGUGACUUGCUUCAACGUCACAACGUAAAGGUCAAAUGCGACUGCCAAGAGUUUGACGCCUCUACCAUCUUAAAUUUUGCUAAGCAACAAGUAAACCUUAAAAUCUUAAAUCUUAAAUCGUAAAUCUUGACUUCAAAUCCACUUCACUUAGGGAUGAAUUUGAAUUUGAAUUUGUAGAUGGAUUACAUACUCGGGGCAAACCCACUAGGGAGAUCAUACAUGGUAGGGUUCGGGAACAAUCCACCAACACAAGCCCACCAUAGGGGUGCAUCGAUACCAUUAUCGGAAGCCAACGUGGACAUCAAUUGCGGCAUGAGUUUCGCCCGUUGGUUCAAUAAGAACUCACCGAACCCUAACGAGUUAACUGGCGCCAUCCUCGGUGGACCGGACAAGCAAGAUAAGUUUAGUGAUCUACGUUGGACGUCGAUCUACACCGAGCCAUGCACUUACGUUAACUCUUUAGCUGUGGCAGGUUUGGCAAAGCUUACUUGCCAUAAGUAAUAAACCAUAGUCUAUAAUUUUGUCAUUUGUAACUUAUUUUUACCAUGUAAGAUAAAAAAAUGGACCAAUUUACUGCAUGAAAUAUUGAACUUAUAUUGUGGUGCAUUCAACACAAUUUUUUUUUUCUUUUUUUAACGUAGAGGGGAAAUGUAUUAAUAAUUUGAUAUAAUCUUUUAAAUAAAUAUAUAUUUUUAAUCCCUCCAAAAAUUAAUAAAUCAGUUUUCAGCCUUUUUAAACAUACCCCUUUAAUACUAUGUAUCAAUAUAUAAUUAUCUAAUUGCAUAGUUAAAGAAAACUUUGGUUUAAUUUUUUAGUAAAAUUCAUGCAUGAAAGUCACUUAAUAUAGGAUAAAAGGGUUAUGGAUACAACUAAAUAACCCCUUAAAAAAUUUGACUUUGUCCUUGAUGAAUAGAAUUUUGAGAUUAUUUUCUCAUAUAUAUGACUUGAAUUGAAUAAAUUCAUACAAUUAAAUACUUUAAAUAUCAUUAUUUUACUAUUUUGAUUUUUUUUAUUUGUUUACUAUAUUUAUUGCAAUUGAUUAGGAUAAUAUAUAUUCGUUUUGUACAUAAAAUCAUGUUAAAUAUGAUAAUUUUUUUAAUAUACGUUAGAAAUUAAGAUAGAUGGGUCCUUUUAAAAAUGUUUUGUCCAGGUGCAAGGAUAGCCAUAGGAUCAAAACUAGCCUUCCUCUCUACAAAUCUCGUCCAUUGAUUCCCAAAAUGCCUUUUCCACUGCUCUUUCGACUGGUAAUGAGGGAGAUAUAGCUUGAAAUCUAAACCCUCUCUGAUGCACCAUUCGACGAUUUCCCGGUUUUGUGCCACCGAUUCCUCGACCGACGGCCCUCUUGAUACGAACCGAAGCAAUGCCACAAGGUAAAAGAUUUCGCUGUCUGGUAACGCCACCGACGUACGAUUAUCCCACCUAAAAAAACACAUUCAAAAAGUUGCAGUUCACGUGUUAGAAAAUAUCCUUCGUAAAGUUUAAUGACAUGUACGUGAAAUUGGCUCCCAUAAAAUUAAGUUUAAGACCAAUUUAAAUCUGAGUUAUCGUAUGAGGACGUCUAGUGGAAUUUACCCUUAUAAAAUUAACCGUGUCUGAUGAGGUGAAAUUGGCUGCGGUCCCUAAGCUCUACAGGUGACACGUGUCGAGAUACUAAGCUUUUGAUGAGACCUCAUCGUCUAAAGCGUGGCAGACAUGCAGUUUGGGAAUACAAUCAAAGGGUCCACAAAAAUGUGUUUGUGCGAGUCAUGAUUGAAUUGAAUUUAAAUAAUAAAAAUAAUUAAAUUUAAUUAUGAAUAUAUAUAAAUUAAUAUAUUGUGCAUGAAAAAUCAUUAUUGAACAUUUUCAUAAAUGUUUGGCUUAUUAUUUUGAAUUUUUUUACCCUUACAUUGAGCCUUAAGGUGCGAAAUGGGAAAUACUCACUUGCUUCGCAUAAGAGGGUAGAUCAGCAUGGGACCACCGAUUCCAUCUUUCACCAUCUUCUUAAACACCGUCUGAUCAAAGUCAACGAUGUCUGAUUUGGAGAUGAAGAGGUUCAACCAUGGAUGCGGGGCAUCCCAAAUGCCAUUGGCCUUCGCUUGUUCCUCCGCACGCUUCACACGCAAUAAAAACUCCACGUAGCUGAGGUCCACCUGAGACUUCAACCCCUCCACGAAACGCAGCGGUUUUAAGAGUCCGGCCACGGCCUGCAAAAGGGGAAACACAGUAAAAUAAAGGUGGAGUUAGGGGCAAUCACGUAAUUUCAUAUAGAAUAAAAAGCAACUCCCUUAAAUUUCAAUGAGGAUAUAUGUACAUUAACAUAAUGUAUACGUUUAUUUUUAACAUUAUAAAUAGAUAAAAAUUUUAAUAAAAAAUUAAUUUAUUCUUUAAUUUAAUAAAAAUAAUCUAACUUUUAAUAAAUUAUUUUCAAACUAUCAAUAUUCAAUUAUACAUGUAUUUUAAGAACCCUCAAACUCAAAUAAUUAAAUUAAUGGGAUGUGCUUUUUUAAAUUUUAAUUAUAACGUUGAUGAAUUGGAACAUUUGAUAAAAGAAAAAAAAAGUAAUGAAUAAUAAUUUCUUUAAAAAAAAUUAAUAACAAAAAAUCAUAGCAGUAGUGAAUUAUUCGGUUCGUGAUAUGAUGGGAUUCGAUAAGAGGCCCGUCCUCAGUCGCUGAGGGUUGUACACGUAUAACCAAUUUAGGAAUAUUCCCACAUUGUUGAUUAAGUGGACCCAUUUUCAAUUUCAGUCAUCUUUUUUAUGCCAUUCGUUGACGUUGACUGCUUAAGGUUCUAUAUUGUUAAGUCACUACAUGAUGCGGGUGAUUGUUAAUAUAUAUAUAUAUAUCAUACAUAAUUGUAUAUUAAAAAUUAGAUUAUAUUUUAUUUUUUUAAAUAGAUAAAUUAAUUAUUAUAUGUUAAAUUAAUAAAAAAUUAGUUAUUUUUAUCAAUUUAUAUUGUUAAAAACUGAUAUAACUAACAGAAUAAACGAAUAGUGAAAUGUGAUAUGCCAUGUGUACAUCAUGUUGAUGUGCAAUGAUCAGUUUUUAACAAUAAAAAUUGAUAUAAUUUUAACAAAAAAAAUAAUUUUCUAUUUGAUUUAAUGUAUAGAGACUCAUUUACGCAUUUUAUAAGUAGAAGAGAUAAUAUGUAAUUUGACUUCUAAUGUAGGACCGACCAUAUUUCUUUUACUUAAAAAAUCCAAAUAAUGAAUAUAUAUAUAUAUAUAUAUAGAAUUAUGGUUUUAGUUUUUUUAUAAUAAUUUUGGAUUUGAGAUUUUUCAACUUUAUUUUUAAAAAAAUAUUUUUUAUAACUUUUAUACAUUAUUUAGUAAAGUUUCAAUUUAUUUAUUCAUAAAUAAUAAAAUUAAAGUAAAUAAAAAUAAUUAAUAACUUAUAUAUAGUAUUUUUGGAAAAAUAAUUUAUUUUUAUCGUAAUAAUUAGAAUUAAUUAUAAAUCAAAUAAAAACACAAAAUCCAACCCGUUUAACUGAGAUUUUUAACUUAUGAAAAAAAUUGUCCAAACACCAUUGGUUCAGACGUUAACAAAAGAAACCUUGUUGUCAAUUUCUCGGUUUCCUUUGCUCGACCUAAUAAUAAUAUUUUAAAAAUAGAGAGAAAAUAAUGUCAAGUUAUAGUAAAGAGAUAAAAUCUCUAAUUGCAACAUAAUGGAGGGACUAAAACCAUAAUUAGACAAAAAUUAUUACCUUAUCUACAGUCGAAGGGUGGUCACCCUUCUGGUAAUGAAAAGCCACUUCAAGACAGUAGAGGACUGAGGCACCGGUUUGAGGGAUAAUCCCCUGGUUGAACCCAUGAACAGGGUCCAAUGGCACGGAUGGCCAUCCAUUAACCGGGUCAUCAUUGUUGCAAAAUACAAAUCCUUCUACGUAAUCAAACGACUCGCCGUCGUCCCGACUCACCAGAAACUCAGCAUCCCGAGUGAACUCGUCGAACUCGGUGUACACCACCCUUAUCCACCUCACCUAACAACACAAAUAAAUAAAUAAAAAGACAAAAUCAUCGUACAUGCAGUGUCUCGAAACAGUGAAACCCACCAUGUCUGGAGCUGGUUGAAGCUUAACCAUAGCUCUGGUAAUAAUACCGAACUGACCAAGCCCACCGAGGGAUCCGAAAAAGAGUUCCGGAUUUCGGGUUUCGGAACAAACCAUUAUGUCUCCUUUUCCGGUAAUGAUUUCCAGUUCCGCCACGUUAGAUAUCUGAGGACCAUAACGGAAAGCUUGACCGCUAACGCCGGCGUUAGAUAACGUCCCACCAACCGUUAAGCUCAAGUAAUCAGUCCAUGACCUCGGAGCUAAACCGAACCGUGAAACGCACCUUGUCAAGACGUUUUCCCAUAAUGCCCCGCCGGAGACGUCGAUAAAAAAGGAACCGUUAAUGUUUAAGAGUCGGAAAUGGUUUUCCUCUGUAGAACGCAUGUCUAUUACUAGCCCUCCGUUUGUCAUCGCUUGACCAUUGAUAGAAUGGCCGUUACCCCUCGCCGCUACCGUCAUACGUGGGAUACGUGACGCGGCUUUGAUGACCCGAGAAACGUCGUCUGAUCCGGCAGGUUUGAUUAAAGCUAACGGUUUGGUUGAAUAAAGACCGCCGAAGUCUUUGCUGGCUAUGGUGGUUUUGUCACCGGUCUCGACACUGCCUUGGAGGUCGAUGGAUUUGGAUAAGGUUGAAACGCCGCCGUUGGGUUUCGGUUCGCCGUCGGUUUCGUGUACGGUUCGGUCCAAGUAAGCUAUCCUCAUGUUUCUGUUAUUUUUUUCUUUUUUUGGACUUGAAAUCGAAAAGUAAGCUUUAGUGCGGAGGUAAUGACCACAGGGGAGGAGGGACUUAAAUAAGGACGGAAAUGGAAGGUUUAUGAAGAUUUUCUUUUAAUGAUUUUUAAUUAUUUAAUUUAAUUUUGAAGGGUUGGCGUCGGCUUAAUUUAAUUAAAUUUAAUGUUGGAGCGCUUAAAUGGUUUUUAAUUUAACUUUUAAUUUAAUCAAGGAGUAUAGAUAUAGUGAAAUUUCUAUAUAAAAAAUAUAAUAUAAUUGUCGAUUCAGUAUUAACUUGAUUGGCAUAAGUAUUAUUGUUAAUAUAGAAGGACAUGAGUUUGACUGCGUUGAAGCACAUUGUCUUCCUAUUUAUGAGUUGAGAAGAGGCUAUGAGUACUUUUACGCAUGUUUCCAAAAAAGAACAAAUAUGAUAUCUUAAAAUUGACAACAAUUCUUACGUUGGGAUUUAAAUAUAUUUUGGUCUAAAUUAACUCUUGAAGUUGGUAAUUGUUCUCAUAUAGUCAUAUUAGGGCUUAAACUAGGUGAUUGUUCCUACAGAGGCAAGGCUAGAAUUUGCCUAUGAUCAAUCCUUAUAAUGUAUGAUUAGACUAAUAUUCAGAAUAUAUCUAAAUAAGGUCAAUACAGGGUAAUACUCAAAUUUGGAAUCUCAAUAUUUUAUUUUUCUUUUGAUACAAUGAGCCUAGAACUAGGUUGUGACCCUUUCCCACCCUUAGAUAAGAGGAUGAACACAUUUCAGUGCCAUCGAACUCACAUGCACUUGUAAUUAUAUUAUAUUUGUAUGAUUUGUAUUAUGUGUGCUUAUAAUUUGUACUUGACAUGCACUUGUAAUUAUAUUAUAUUUGUAUUAGCGAAAUUUUCAAAAAGAAAAUUCAAACUUGAUUCGAUAAUCACUGAAUCGCGUGCAUUUUUUUAAUUGUAAUUUUAAAUAAAAAUAUAAGCAUCAUCUUGUUUAUAAAAAAAUAGAUAAAUCUCAAUGUACUAAAGAUUAUAAUUUAAUUAAUGUGACAAUCUUGUUACUUAAUCAAUGAUGUUGCUUUGCAGUUUUCAUGUUGUUGAAGUAUAAAAAUUAAAAGUAACAAAAUUUCUUUAAUUGUAAGAAUAAAGUCAAAAUACAAAAAAAAAAAUUAUGCAAUUUGGUUAAAGUCAACUUAUUAAUUAAUUGAAACAACAACAAUUAAUAUUUGAUGGUACUGAAUUAGAAGAUUAAGAAGAAUCCACACAUUUCACCAGGACAAAAAAUUGAUAUAUUAUGGUUGGACCAUUAAUUAAACUAUUUAAAGUCAAAUGGAUUUUAUAUAUUUUUUAAAAAUAAUUAAAUAAUGAUUUUUAAAUUGAAAUGGGUGUAGCAUUUGAACUACUGGUAUGUUUGUAAGCAACAAGAAUAUUCAUGAAAUCCAGUGGAGAAGCUUAGAUUUAAAAUAAUUAAUUUUAAUUUUAGUCAAAACAAUUUUUUUAGUGGAGGAAACAUUAGAUAAUUACUUAAUAAAAAUAUAUAAUAGUGUGUGAUGUUAUAUUGUACCUAAAGAAAAAGAAAGUGUGGUUUAAGGGUCUUGAUCCUCAUUAGUUUACACGGUGUAAAAUUUAAGAGGGUUUGAGUAAAACUAUUAAAUUUGAAAGAUAAGUUUGGAUAAAAAUUAGGCCUGUUUAAAAUAUGAAUCGGACUUGAACUUAUUUUAUUACGGAUGUAAUUUAUGCCGUGUAAAGAUUAAAUUUAUAAUAAUAUAUAAUAUUAUUACCAAUUCAUAGGUAGUACAUGUGAUUAAUGUGAAUUUAAGGGUAAAAAAAGUAAAAUUAAUGAAUUAUUUUUUCCUGUUAAAAAUAAAAUAGUAUUCAGAUAAUCAUUGACUUUAUUUAAUUACUAUAUUUAUUAAAAAUAUUAUUUUAUUUUUUAAGGGUGGGAAGUCAAAUGAAUUUUAUUUUUGGACUUUAAAAAAGUCAAUUUCUUAAUAUUUUUAAUUGAAAGUCGGUGAGUAAAUUUCGCCUCCAAUUUAUCUUUUUCUUUAAUAUUUUUUUUUUUAAUUUUGAGACGGCUAAAAUAUAUUCAAAUUUAAUUCUUAAAUUAUUCAACUAUAUUAACUACAUAUUAGGUCUCUUGUAAACUUAAACGAAAGGAUUUAAAUAAUAUUAAUUUUUGUAUUUUAACUCGAUUAAUUUUGAUGUUAUAUUAUUCGAAUUUUAAAAUUUUAAUCAUAAUUAAAUGGUAAUCGUUAAAUGCGUUAGUAUAAAUCGUAGAUUUAGUUCAUAUUAUCAAUUUAAUCGAUUUUAGCCUCCACACAUGUAGAAAUAACAAGUAGACAUAAUAUUACACAUGUGGUAAUAUUUUUGUCAUGAAAUUUUGAAAAUAAUAUAAUUUAAAUAAAGUAGUGUUUCGAGGAAAUUAAUGAAAAUUAAGUAGUCAAUUGUUUAUUAAUAUAACAUUCACGAUAAUUUUUAAAUCCAUGAAUUUCAUUCUUAUAAUUUAUAUAAAUAAAAUCUAAAAUUUUAAAUCAAUGCUUCCAAAUCGAGCAUUAAUGAAUUAACCGUUAUUAUUUGAUUAAGAUUGAAAUUUGAAAAUUUAAUUUUCUUUAAAAAAUAAAAAUUACUAAAUUAUAUAUGAAUAAGCUAUCUUUUCAAUAAUAUUUGAGCAGACAGAGCAUUAGAUCGAUUUGUUUAUAUUUUUAUAUAUUUAAAAUUUAGUCCAUUUAUUUUUCUUUUGAGAAAUUUGAUCUCUUUUACUUUUUAAUUUUUAAAAUUCAAAUCAAAUCAUUAAUAUUAUUAUUAUUAUUUGAUUAAAUUCAUUGGUCUGACAUUUUUAAAUUCAAAAAAUAAAAGGACUAAAUUAUAAAUAUAUAAGAGUAUAAGGACUUAGCUCGCGUUUUAACCUAAAACCAAAAGACAUGUCCGAAGUUCUCCAACCGUUGCCCUCGUUUCACAACGGUCAUUAACUGCCAUCUCGCGCCUUUUCCACCCAUAUAAAACAAGUUUCGUAAACAACAGCCUCCCCAUUCUCAAUUGUCGGCUGUUCACGGUGGCGCUUCUAUUUCUAGCGCCACCAACGACGGCCAAUAACUCCUUUCAAUCUCUUCAAGGAAAACCACCAUGGGGGAUCCAAACUCCGACCUGUUUAAUGACACCCAAUAUUCAGAGGAAUUCAUGGAAAUAAUCAACGCCGCCAUUAAUGUCACUUCUUUAGAGCUUUGGGAUACGAAUCCGUUCAGUGGAGAAACCAGUAAUAAAAUCGAAACGAAUUUGGGUGGAAAUGAAAUCCCGGAACCCGUUCCCCUGCAAUUACCGACGAACGAUGACUUUCCUGUUGAUAUUGAUAGUCUUUUAAUGGACCCGAGUGAAAAUAAGUUGGGAAAUGAAAUCCCGGAACCAGUUUCCCUCAAAUUACCUACGAGCGAUGAACCUUUAGAUAUUGAUAGUCUUUUAGUGGAUCAAACAGAAAUGAACUUGGGAAAUGAAUUCCAUGUACCGUUUUCAUUUCCUUCUUCGAAAGCCAUUGUUGAAUACAAUGGAGAAACUAGUAAUCAAGGGAAAACAAAUCCGGGAUUUGAAUGUUAUUGUUGCGAAAUAUUGAGGGAAAUUAAUCAUUUUGAUGGUAAUGUUCUUUUUUUUGAAUUUUCGGUAAAAAUGGCUGAUUUUAGCAGAGAUUUAUGUUGUUCUUUGUUGUACAGGUGGAAUUGUAACGAAACUUCAACUACAUGGAAGAUUAGUUGGAGUUCUCUUUCAUGCAGUUCUUGAUGUUGCGCAAAGUAACCAAGUUGUGUCUCGUGAAGUGUUCAAGUAAGGGUUUUUCAUUCUUCUUUAACAUCCGUUAGUUUUUUUCUGAUCGUAAAGGUCGGGAUUGGUCCUGGAUUAACAUAAGACGGGAUUGAAUUGGGUUUUUCUUUUUGAACAGUUUCCGUGGGAAAAGCUUGCUGGAAGUGAAGCAGUUUCUAAGAGAGUAUUGCAUGAAGAGAAAACAAGAGGGAUAUACAAUGCUGAAGGAUCCAAGAUCUAGUUUUUUUGAAGCAUUAUGCAUAGGGUUUGAUUGGUACGAAAAUCCGACUACCAAUACGAACCUAGGUACCCGACUUCCCCGAAUAUACUUGUAUCAAUCACAUAUUUAGCAAAAUAUAAUGAUAUUUGUUUUAUAGAGGACAUUCCAAACAACUUGGGGCAGGCAUCGGUCUCUAACACGGAACAAGUUGUUGCUGCAACAACUAACGAAGCUGACAGCAAUAGCAAUGACAACAAUCAAAAGUCUUCGAUUUCCUUAACGGAACAGGUCAAAACUAAUGCUGUUGAGUUCGAGUUCGGGUUCGGAUUUCUUUUUACUGAAAAUAUUCAUUUUGUUUAAACCACAGCGAAAGAGAAUAAAAGAGAUGAGAUUAAUUGAUUUAGCAAAUUAUUUGCAUCUGCCAAGGAAAGAAGCAGCCCAAAAACUUGGACUAUCCGAAACUGUAGUCCACAACAUAUGGUGCAAAGGCAACGGUGGUGGCAAACGAAGGUGGCCUCAUCGAAAGGUGAUCGUAAAAACUGACAUUUGUUACUGCAUUUGCAUAUAUCAUAUUUAGUAACAGUUUUUUUAUUGCAUUUGCAUAUAUCAGAUUCAAAGCAAAGUGAAGGAAAUCAUGAAAUGGAGAGAGCUAUUGAGUUCAGAUGAUCCGCAGGUAAGAGAUCGUGCUGGAGUUGAAAUCCUUCUGAAACAAGAACAGUUGGCUCAAAUAUAUAGAGAAGGUUUAUCGCAGUAUUUUUUCUGAGAGUUUGAAGGCCACAUUAUUAUUUUUGGGAUUAUUUUGGAUUUGUUUGAAUUGUAGUAAAAACUACAUUAUUAUUUGGGAUCCUCCUUAUUUAUAAUUAUUUCAUGUUCUGGGUUCAUUUUUCUUCUCAUUUCAUCAACUUCUUUGAUCAUUCUACGAUUACAAGUCACCACAUCACCUCCUCCUCUACUAAUAUUAUUUUGUGUAUAAGUAGAAACGCACCAGGACCAACUAUACUACCAAUCAGUCGAUUUAAUCACUUUGUUUGAACAAGUAUACGAACUAAUCAAUCUUCUCUACCACCAUCAUGAUAGGCUAUAGUUGAUAUAACUAGUUCCACCAUACAAACAAUAAGGAAAAUGUCUAUUGCUGGGUUUGUAUUAGCACUUAUACUUCAAUCAAAUUAAAAUUUUAGUCCUUAUCAGUCCGUCGAUCUGAUUAGUCUGUUUGAUUCGAUUAUCAAGCCAUUAAAGAAAUCAUAUAAAGUAUAAAAUAUUAAAAAUCUGUUUAGAAAAACAAAAAUCCUUCUCCUUUCCAAUGUGUUUAGAAUCAGAUUGAUUGUUGAAUCGGUCAAGCCAUCAGUUUGUCGGUCCGAUUAGUCUGUUUGAUUCGAUUAACAAGCCAUUAAAGAAAUCAUAGAAAAUAUAAAAUAUUAAAAAUCUGGUUCAACUACUUCAGUUUAAAAUCCAUAAACUAAUUCAGGUUUUAUUAUCCCUAAUCCUGUUAGAAUAAUUAAUUUAUACACCACAAUGAAUUAAAAGAAACCUCCACAAACGAGCUUAGAAUAUUAUCAUGUGUCCUUAUAAAAAUUAAAAUAAAAUUACAAAAUUGAUAGUUUAACAACCACUUAUAACCCCAAAAAACCCCUUCAAGGACCAUUUUAAAAAUUAGGGUAUAGUUUAGGAACCAAUUUGCAAAUAAAACCAUAAAAACUAAAUAAAAAACAGCCCAUUUAGCUAAAUUGAAUCUUAUAUAUCUUUUACGCCUAAACCGAACGAAGCCCAGUUUUUUCUCUUCACCCUUUUCUCCAAUCACCAAAUUCGCAAAAUAGCAAUUAAGCGAAGGGGUUCGGGGUUUCAAGCUAAAAACUAUUAGUUAAAGAGUUACAGAAAAACAUAUGGGGGAUCCUUAUUAUAGAUACCCUUUAGCUGCCGCAGAUAGAGGUACUUUGUUUUACCCCUAAAUUUAACUUUUUUUUGCAGCCCAGAAUGUUAACUUGUUUGAUUAUUAGGAUUUUGUUCUUUGGGACAUUGCGAAUUCUUACUCUUUGUUGUUCUUUAAUUUGAAUUUAGCUCUUUUUUCCCCUGUAAUGGGUGUGUUUUUAUAUGAUAUUGUUUGAACCUGUUUAGCUCUGAUUUGCAGAAUCAGAAAUUAUGGUCUCGUUUAAUGGGAGUUGCAUUUUACUAUGAAUUCUGUUAGACUCUUUUCAGGCGCUAAUCCAGAAAGUUUUUUAGCGGGCCGGAGUUGAGUUAUAAUUUUUUUGUGAGGUUAAAGUGUAGUUUUAUCUUGUAUUAACUUAUGAUUUCAUCACUUUUGGAAGGACUAAAUAGAAAUCUUUUCAUUUUUUGGAGGGCCAAAGUACAAUUUUACCACAUAGUAACUUUUAAUUCUAUCAUUUAUUUGGGGACUAAAAGAUAAUUUUUCCAUAUGGGGGGUGGGGGGGCUGAAUCUUUGCAUUGUGAAUAUGCGGUGUUCUUUUAAGUUACACGAGUGUUCGAUAUGGGUACUUCAUAGUGCUGUCUCCGUAUUGAUCUUUAGCAAGUUAACGUCGUUUUAUUGAUAGUCCGACUCUUUUUGCAGCAGGUAGUAUUCCGAGGUCUGCAUUUCCUGGCUACUUUUCUUCCGAAGCACCCUCGUUGCCGUCUCAUCAUGCUGAUAUGCAGGUUGCUUCUUCCGAUGUAAGGCGGUUCUCAGUUCUAGUGUGAUACCAUUUUUGUAAAUGACUUUGGCAUUUUAUAACUGGAUGUCCCUUCCUUUGUGUUGGUAUUUUUUUGAGUAGAUAAAUCAAAUGCAACCUGGGAAGUAUGGGGUGAAUGAUAUUUCUAAUCCUGGAGUUUAUCCUGAGUCCAACCUUGGUGGUUUAUCAGCUGGAGCAAAUACAAGGGCUUAUCCAUCUUCUUUCGGAGAUCCAAGUUUAGGUACUCAAAGAUGGAAUGCUUCUGUAGGUAUCCAUUCAAACACUGGAGUUCAUCCUGAACCUGGUUAUGGUGGUGUGUCGGCUGGACCUCCCAUUAGGGAAGUUCCAAAUUUAGUUGGCCAUCGAUGGGAUACUCCUGGCGUUAGUUCAAGUGCUGGAGUUCAUCCCGAGCCUAGUCUUGGUACUGCAUCAGCUGCAGCUACCAUUCGGGGUUAUUCAUCUCCGUUAGAAAUUCCAAGUUCCGUUGGCCAAAGACGGGAUGUUCCUGUAGGCAUUAGUCCAAGUUCUGGACUUCAUCCCGAACCUAGUAUUGGUUCUGUACCGGCUGGAGCUAGCAUAAAGGGUUAUCCUUCUCCUCUAAAAGAUUCAACCUUAGUUGACCAAAGAAACGACAGUCCACCGGGCACAAAGCCUGGCAUUCCCGAUGCGUUAGAUGAAAACGCUUCUGCGAGAAAUGGUUAUGGUCACAUAGAUGCUGUUGGAGAUUCGAACAUUUUGUUCAUUGAUGGUCUUCCUACUAACUGUACGAGGAGAGAAGUAGGUCGUAUCCUUUUUAUUUUCGCAUGCAUGCUUUCGUGAAUAUGGAAAUAUUCCUCAGCAACUUUCCGAGAAAGUUCAAACAAUGCUUAAGAAAUAACACACAUGCUUCACGAUAUCACGCAAAAUUAAACUAUUAUAUGCCAUUGUUCUCCUUUACUUAACAUCAAAGAUCUUUUCCGUCCAUUUACCGGCUACAAAGAUAUCAAAGUUGUUCACAAGGAACCAAGGCGUGUAAGUUCACCACUCAAUCAUUUCUCUUGAUUUAGGUUCCCGUGUUGGGGAUGAAUGGCUUAAUAUACCAAUAUGUUGACAUAUUUCGAUUCGAUUAUUCCAUUAAUUUAGUUUUAUUUAUGUUCUUCGUAGAGGGGAGAUAGAGCGAUGGUUUUAUGCUUUGUAGAGUUUGACGACUCAAAAUGUGCAAUGACAGCCAUGGCAGCUCUUCAAGGUAAUCUAGGCUUGAAAAAAUCGCAUAUAGAACUUUAACAGAGAGAUGAAUAACAGUGCAUUGAAAGUGUUAAGUGAUGUUAUCCGGCAUCUAUUGGUUAUUGGGUUUUCUUUAUACUUAACCCGAGCCCCAAUGAUUAUUUCCAAAACCAGAUUUAGGUUAGAUGCUUUAACAUGUGAUCUGCAUCUGUUCAUUAUUAGGGGUUUCGUGUGAUCUUAUAUUAAAGUCGGACCAAGCCACCUAUUGUUGGUAUCAUUGCUUUUUCAAUAUCAUAUGUGCCAUAUGGGUGGUGAUAAGUUGAACUUUUUCUGCAGGUUACAAGUUCGAUGACAAGAAACCCGACUCUCCAGCCUUGCGAAUCCAAUUCGCACAUUUCCCUUUCCAUCUUCAAAACGAUCAAAAUGAUUAACGGGUUGAGUUCUAACCAGGGAUUUAAAUUGCAGCUGCAGACUUAGUUUUGAUUGUGUUGCAUUUACUGUGGUUUGAGGAUGUAAUGGUUGCUAUCAUGGUAAAUAUCGGUGAGACCUUGGAUUCCUUUAUGGUAUGGACAUGUUGAUGUACCCAAAUUUCAAUCAUGUUAAACCAGUAUCUAGACCAGAUCAGUUCUUAUCUUGUAAUGACCAUCACAUACACAGCAGAUCUUUUUUAGAAUUUCUAUUUCAUUUUUCUCUUCAAGAUUAUGUAUUGGAUUCUCUUAUCUUGUGUACAAAUAUGGUUAUAAAUAAUUUUUUUAGCUUAUAAUUAUAUGUUAAAAAUGUAUAAAUAUUUGGUAUCAUGAAACUUAGGAUGUGUUAGAUUUGAAUAUUUAACUUUAAAUGUGUUUUUUUAAAUUUUUUUUAAAUUUUUUAAUAAUAUUUUUUAGUCCAUAUAAAACUUCAAAAAAACUGUUGAAUAAGAGUUAUCUUCAUUUAAUUCAAUUCUUUAAUUUGAUAAUUUUUUCAAUUAGGUCCUUAAACCUUCUGUUAUACCCUAUUAAUUUUACAACUUUUCUUAAUUUUGUCUCUAAAUUUGGAUUCCAUAAUAAUUUGAAAAAAAUUUACAUCAAAGACCAAAAAUAUUAAAAAUUAUAUAUAAAUUAUAAAGUAUUUUAAAAUUUUCAUAUGAUGAAGUGAAACAAUCUCGUAAUGUUAUCACACAAGUUUAGGGAUCAAAUUAAAAAAAAAAAAUCUACCAAAUUCAAGACUAAAGUGAAUAAAAAAGUGCAGGGACCAUUUUGAAAUAAUUUCGAAGUUCAGAGAUUAAAUAUUACUUUAUCCCUUAAUUUAAAUAAUCAAAGUAUAAGGACUUAAUUAACGAAAGUAAACUAGUUUAAGGACUCAUUUAAUAGUUUAGCCAAAAAUGUCGUACAAUGAAAUUCGAGCGGAUCCAAAUCGGGUCCAAACAAGAAAUGCUGGGAAAAUUCACCUGUGUAAACUAUAAUCUUUCAGAUCCAAAAAAAAAACCCGAACCUGAAACAAAGCUCUAGCAGAGACUAAAGCUAUAGAAAGAAAAUUGCAAAUAUCCGUUUAGAACAGAUUGUGGAUCUGUUUAAUUGACGAUGGUAAUGGAACUAGGGAACGGCGAUGAUGGCGUCACCUCAUCGGCGUCACCGACCUCCGCCAUGGCCAGUGUUCUCCCUCUCGCUUCCGUCUCUCAACAGCCUUACGUGUCCGAGCUCCUCUCCUUCACUCUCGAUCGCCUCCAUAAGGUUCGUUUCUUUUUUUUUCUUCAUUUCUUUCCAAUAUGUUUUGAGAUCUGAAUCGUGUUUGUUGAACGGAAAAAGGAGCCGGAACUUCUUCGAGUUGAUGCGGAAAGGAUUCAGAGGCAAAUGCAAGAAGUUGCUGUUGGUAAUUACCGCGCUUUCAUUUCUGCCGCCGAUGCGUUGGUUGCUAUCAAAGAGGAACUAUCUUCUAUCGAUAAGCAUCUCGAAUCUCUGGUAAUUAACUUUAUUAUCAUUAAAAUUUUUCAUUUUUUUUUCCUUUUCUUUGUUGUAUUACUUGUUAUUUGUUGUCUAAUACAGAGAUUUCGUUUGAUCUAUGGAGUAUUACGAACUAACUUGGAAAGUACUAAAUGUACAUUAGUUGGAAGAUUGGAAAAGAGUAAGGAAAUUCUAUAAGGUAGCCUUUGGGAACUUGAAUUUAGAAUUUGGAUGUGGAUUUGGAUUUCAACGGUGUAAAUUGAGUAGUAGAAUAGUUAGAAAUGUAACAUUCAUAAUAAUUUCUCAAAUCCUUGGAUUUGUUAGAAUACUUUUCUAAUGAUGUUAUAUUGAAUAUCAACCAAUUUGUCAAUAAUCUAUGCAUUUCAUUCUUAGCAUUUAUAUAAUAAAUGAAACUCAAAUCCAUGUUCGCAAACGGAGCAUAAUUGUUUUCAAGGAGCGUUGAACACUCUUGAAAGUUUCACUUGGAAAGUUUUAGCUGUGGGGCUCUAAAGUCAGGUAAUAGAUUUGCAAUUUUAUGGAGUGGUGUAGGCAGUUUCCUGGCUAUCUUCUGGAUCUCAAGAGUUAGGAGUGGUUGUCUUAGCUUAUGAUUAUUAGAGCAAAAAUCUAGAGAAAAUAGCUUAGUUAUUUUGCACUAGCUGUGAUGUUUGUAUUAGUUGUGAAAACUUCUUUCGAUAAAGCAUGAAGGCUUACAGUUGGAUUUCUCCCAAUGUGAUGAAAUAUUACAUGAGAACUGUUUUCUACCACCUGAUGUGUUUACUUUCUCUCUGGGGAUUGUAUAUACAAGAUUCAAUGAGUAGAUAAAGAAGGUAGAACUUGUAAAUUUUGAUGACCAAUGAGAUUUAUGUAAGGUUACUCUAAUUUUAAAAGGAGGGUAACAAUCUCAUGCCAACCUCGGAGUUACAAAAGGAAAAGCGGAAAAAUUCUUAAGUUAUAAAAGAGAAAGAAGGAUUGAAUUUAACUUUUAGUUGAUUUGGUAUAUAGAUGGUGAACUCAUGGUACAUUGAUUUUCUUUUCUUUUUUUUUUAUCCAUAGAAUUCUUUCCUUUUGUGGAUAUGCUAAUAGGUAGGGUUUGUCUUUGCAGAUUACUGAGAUCCCGAGCCUGACAUCUGGUUGCACAGAAUUUAUUGAAUCUGCAGAACAAAUUUUGGAGAAGAGGAAGAUGAACCAGACUCUGCUAUCAAAUCACAGUACUUUGCUUGAUUUGCUUGAGAUUCCUCAGCUCAUGGACACGUAAGUGCUUGAACAAAUUGUAAAUGCUGAGGCAUUUAGUACUAUAGAACAUAUAUGCUAGAAUGGCUUCAUUAAACUCAAUUUUCUACAGAUGCGUGAGGAAUGGAAAUUAUGAUGAAGCUCUUGAUUUAGAAGCCUUUGUUUGCAAACUCUCAACCAUGCACCCCAAGUGAGUUAACCCCUAUUAUAUCCUUCUGUUAUAAACUAUUAGAAGACAGCUGACUGAGAUUUGUUUUCCCCUUCUCGAAAGUAUACCUGUUAUUCAAGCAUUGGCUCAAGAAGUUAGGCAAACAACACAAUCUCUUCUCUCUCAGCUUCUCCAAAAGCUUCGUUCAAAUAUUCAGGUAUUUGUUUGGAAGUGGUUCAACGAAUGCAAAACUUGAUUUUAGUUGGAGUUUUAGUCAGGCAUGUGAUCUAUGUAUUUUGCAGUUACCAGAAUGCCUUCGGAUUAUUGGAUAUUUACGCCGAAUAGGAGUAUUUAGUGAGUAUGAAAUGCGGUUGCAGGUAAAAUUUUUUAUCUCUGCCUGUUUAUCAUUGUGGUCAACUCUCUCAUCCCGCUGUUCAGUUUUACUUUCUUGUUCCCCCUUCUGACGACAUUUUUUCUUGGUUCAGUUUUUGAGAUGCCGAGAGACGUGGCUCACUGGAAUUCUUGAGGACUUGGAUCAGAGAAACGCGUAUGAGUAUCUAAAAGGGAUGAUAAGCUGUCACAGAAUGCAUCUUUUCGAUGUUGUUAACCAAUAUCGAGCAAUAUUUGCUGAUGAUACAUCUGGAAGUGAAGAAAAUUAUGAUGGCGGGCUUAUUUUUAGUUGGGCCAUGCAUCAAAUUACUUCACACCUUAAAACUCUUAAAGUCAUGCUUCCAAAAAUAACAGAAGGUGGAUCGCUAUCAAAUAUUCUGGAUCAGUGUAUGGUGAGAAAAUUUAAAAUUACAAUAGUUUCUUAUAUAACCAGUCAUUUAACUUUUGAUUAUUAUAAUAUCAUAGUCAACAAAAGGCUGUGUUGAAAAUAUUUUUGCAAUUAAGCAUCUGGAAAAUAACUUAGUGACAGAUUUAUUUGUUGUAUCUGAUUGUGAUGAUGCUUUUGAUCUUUGUUGCUAACAGUAUUGUGCAAUGGGGCUUGGUUGGGUCGGGUUGGAUUUUCGAGGCUUGCUUCCUCCUCUAUUUGAAGAGUAAAUAUAUACAAUCAUUUUUAUUUUCCUUUUGACUACUUUUUACCCCUAUCAUUGAUUAUAUAUACUUCACAACUUUACAGGGCAGUGCUCAAUUUAUUCUCUAAGAAUAUGAAUACAGCAGUUGAGAACUUUCAGGUAUGCAGACUAUAUGCACAAAGUUAGGGUUUUUCUUUUUAAUAAUCCUCUAAAUGGGUUGUUGCCCAUGUAACUUCUUUAACUUGUCCUUUUACUCUGGGUCCAGUUAGUUCUGGAUUCGCAUCGAUGGGUUCCAUUACCAGCAGUUGGCUUUUCAGCCGCUAGCAUCAGUGAAGAAAGUCAGGAGGAUGUAACGCCACCAUCUUAUUUGAUGGAACAUCCGCCUCUUGCUGUGUUUGUUAAUGGUAAGUUCAACUCGUGUUUGCUUUUUCUUUAGUGAUGACUUCUCAAAUGGUUUGUAUAAUCUAUCAAAGGAUAAAUGACACUAGAGCUGUCGAGGGAGUAUAGUUAGGUUGCAUGACCCUUACUAGCUUUUAUGUUUAAGCUGUUUUCGUCCCGAAAAUUCUUGUGUUUCAAGUACAAAUGCAAAAGAGAAUGAGCCUUGGUUUUCAAAGUCUUGAUGGUUUAGAGGAUAGGUAGGUUGCCAUUAGGCAUUGUAGCUUUUAGAUUGAAGCUAUUUUUUUCGAUUAUGCUUGGUUUUGACGGCUCAAUGUUGUCAUUUUUUACUUCAUCUCUCUCUGGUGAUUUUACUUUUAGGUGUUUCCGCCGCAAUGAACGAACUACGUCCUUGUGCCCCAGUUAGUUUAAAGAAUGUUCUUUCUCAAGAAUUAAUUAAAGGAUUGCAGGCUGUUUCUGACUCCCUAUUGAGAUACAACGCAACUCGGAUGCUCAGAGAAAACGAAUCUGGGCUUUUCCUCUCCCUUUGCCGAGCAUUCAUUGAGGUGCAUUAUAAUGAAAUCAGGCAAACUAUCUCAUGCAAGUUUUUGACAAAACUUUUUACAUACUGACAAACUUCCCCCUAUUCUCAGGUCGUUUUCCCACACUGUGCGACAUGCUUCGGUCGUUGUUAUCCUGGUGGGGCCGCUCUUAUCAUGGACGCAAAGAAUUUAUAUGAAGGACUUGGUCGCCUGUUGACAAUCUCUUCAACGAAAGAACCCCCAAAACCAGUUGGUAACGGAGAGGAAAAGACAGCAUCCGGAAAUGGUGACCUGCCGUCUCAACCUGUUGUGGAAAAUGGCAUUGAACCGACGGUCGAUAAUGCAGCAGAUGAGAAGGAACAGAACAGUCCCGCAUUGCAUACUGAUGAAAAAAAGGCUGGUGAAACAUCCUAGGAAAGAUCCAUUCUUUAAACUUUGAUUUGAUAAUGUUUGUAGAAAGAAAAAGGUAGUGUUAUUUUUUUGAUGUAUUAAGCAAUUUUCCGGCCAAAAGGAUAAAAUGAGAAAAACAAGUUUUAUAUUUGUUGGUUAUGUAUUUAAAUAACUGGAGGGCGUGGUGUUAUGCUUAAAUGUUUGAGAUUUUUUUUAUGAAAAUCUCAUCUCAAAACUUUGAAGUAAAAAUUGUAAUUUGUGAUAUACGGGGUUGGGUCGGCGUCGAGAGUCGACCAUAGCAUUUAUUUUCAGAGUCGGGUGAAAUGGAAAUGCGUUCGGGGUUAAUAUUGGGUUAAGCUUUCACCAUAUUGGGUUUGGGUGCCCAAAAAUCUAUCCUGCCUUGCUUUGUACUAGUUGCGGGGUUUUUUUUAUUUAUUUUUUUUUCAAUUAAUUUAUUCAAUUUUUUAAUAAAUAAAUAAAAUAUAAUUUAAUUCUUAAACUUAGUUUAAUAUUUUUUUUCAAAAAUAUUUUUCCGAAAGAACUCUAAAAAUAUUUUUGAAAAUAUCAAAAGCAUCUUAUAAUGAUUUUAUCUCAAAAAUACUUGUAGGAAGUAAUGUUAAAUUAGCUUUAAAAAGGAAUAUGAAAAGACACUUGACUGUAUUGUAAUUAUGGUCUUAAUUUGACAUAAGUCGAUUCCUAUACUUUUAUGUGUUAUUCGUAGGUCACAUUGGAAAAAUUAUUACGUAAACUUUUUUUUCCACGUCAACUAUGAUCCCCAAUUAAUAAUAGAAUGCCACAUAAGUAUAUGUUUUAGAUGACAUUAAAAAUUUUGCCAACUCACUUUCUCUUCAUUUUAAAUCACUUUUUUUCUUUUUUUAUUGACUUACUUCUCUCCAAGCACCUACGACUAUAAUUCAGUCUUAUCCCAAUUCUUUAAUCCAAAAAAACAAAAAGUUGCUUGACAACAAAUGAAAAAAAAUACAAAUCAAUGACUACUGUGGUGGGAUGUGUUGAAGAUAUUUUAGCGAAGGUAAAGGUUAAUAUAUUAAAGAGGGUAUUUAUGCUCGUCGUGUCCUUUAUAUGGAAAUCAGAAGUUAGGAGGCUGUUCUCUUGACUCGUACUGAUGAGAAUUUAACUCCACGUGAAAUUGAACAAAAAGCUGCUGAAUUAGCCUAUUUUUUGCAUGUACCGGUUGAAGUAUUUUGAAAUGAACUGCAGAAUAAAAGCUUUCUCGCCAGGAGGAAAAAGCUCAAUCCAAGAAUCUUUUUUUUUUCUAUAGCAGAACUAAAUUGAAGUUUCUUCAGAAUGCAUGUUCAAACCAAAGCGGACGUAUACGGAAGAGUCAGAACAUAAAAAAAAAAAAAAACUAUUUUUUCUUUUGUCCACAAAAAUAGUUUUUUAUGCAUCUGUAAAUGUAAAACCGCUCAACUUAAUUCACUAACAAAAUAGGUAAAAAAUCGAAAUACUAAAUUCAUCUCAUAUAUCAAAGUAUUUCAAAAUAAAGACUUUCACUUUUUAUUCGCAAUAUUUGGAGUUGAUACAGGUAGAUCAUAUCUUGUACAUUUUCUCUACUCUUCUUUUGUGCUCCAAAUUUUGACAGAAAUUUUCUGAAAUUUGUUCUCUAGCUUUCUUAAUGGUACCUUAUGAAUUACUCUUGAUCUGUUGAAGAAUAUAAUUUAGUGAUGGCAGAAGUUAACAUAUUUGUAAAAUUUUUAUUGCAAUUUUUUUAUAUGUGUUUUCUAGCUUUCUUAAUGGGAUCUAAUUAUUUCAUUAGUUCAUCUAUGUUACCUCUCUUGUGAUUCUAUGAAUGAAUGGGUACAACUUUUGAAAAAACAAAUUGUUUUUUUAUGAUAAUUCUUUUUCCAAAUUUAAUUUUGCAAUAUUGAAAAAUAAUAAAUGAAAAACUCAGAUUUUCUUUUUUUUUCUUUUUUUUUCUUUUUUUAGCAUUGAACUUGCGUAGAAUGAAUGAUGAUUUAGAGGAUUGUUACAUUCAUUUAUAGUAAAAAUUUUACUAAAUUAUAUUUAUAAAUUAACUAACCUCAAACCAUGUUUAGAUGGGAAAAUUUUCUAACUCAAGUUGAAUUAAAAAUAUUAUAAAAUUUAGUGUUUAAUCCCAAAUUAAUGUGAUUAGCUGGUUGUACCAAAAAUGGUACCCAUUGAAGACCUUUUUUAGUUUUUUGUUUUCCCUUCAUUAAACUCCUUGAUUCAAGCAAUUUCAUCAUUCUCAAAAGAUGAAACAAACGAAAACAUCAAAAUAACAAUUUUCACAAAAAUAAAAGAACUACCCAUUGUUUUCAUUUCCUUUUUGAAGCUAUGGGAAGGAUUGUUCCUUUAGAUGGCGACGUCGUCAUACACCCAGCAUUACCAUUUUCCCUCGUGGUGGCUGCCACCGCGGCAACCAUCGCUAUAAUCACCGGUUUAUGUGGUUUUUUCAGGAAACCACCACCAGAAUUACAAGAACCAACAUCAGCCGACACUACGUCACCAACAAAUGAAGAACAAGAACCCAACACCACCGCAGACGGCGGAGAAACGGAAGAAGGGGGCAAUGAACUAUUACCACCACCACCAUGCAUGGCGGCAUUAACGUUCAAGAAUCCCGAAAACGCCGGCAAUUUAAUGAAGAAAUCAGCAUCUACACGUAGUAAACUGAGUUCUACAUUUAGCGUUAAGAAACAUCUCAGAAGCAUAUCGGUGAGGGAAAUUAUUGAAAAAGGGAAACACGUACAACAAAAGCAUCAUCAAGAAGAUUCCCUUUGGACUAAAAAGAUUAUAUUGGGGGAGAAAUGUAAAGUUUCUUAUGGUGUUGAGGAUGAUGAUGAAGAUCAAAAUGGUGGCAAUAAAGGGGAGGUUGAUACAAUACCAGCAGCUGGAAAUGAAGACGCCAUUGUUGAUAAAGAGAAAGAGAUAACAAGCAAAGAAGAAUAAGUUUUAUUUAUUUAUUUUUCUUUUCUCAAAGGAAAUGAAAUUCAAUUAUUAUUUUUUUAAAUGAAAUGAAAUUCGAUUAUUAUUUUUUAAAAGUGUUUGUUCUUUUAGAAUGAAUUUCAGAAAUUUAAUCAUUCAAAUAUAGAAUAUUUAGAAGAUAACCUCAUUUGUGUGUUCCAACUUGCACUAUUCUUAAUAAAUUUGGUAUCGAAUUAAGUAAAAUUCCUCCUCACACUUUUUAUUUUUAUUGGUAAUACUUAAAAUUAAAUAGAAAUGUUUUGGUAAAAAUAUUACGGAGGUCUUUGUGCUAAAAGUCAGAUUAUGUUUUGCUCGUUCUACUAAAAAAGCGUGCAAAUUAUUAGUCCUUAUGCAUUAGAUAAAAGAGUAAAUUGGCCCAUGUACGUUAACACGAGGUACACAUGCCAUGCCACGUGUCACUAUUUAGUUAUUCUAACAGCCAUGCCAAUUUUUAAUAGUAGAAUUGGAUGAAACUUUUAACAUAAAAGACCAUUUUACUAUUUAAUCUAAUGUACAGGGACAAAUUUACUCAUUUUUUAGUAGAAGGGGCAAAAUGCAAUUUGACAUCUAUUGCAAAGACCUUCAUGAUAUUUUUACCAAACUUUUCUUAAGGAAUAUUAAAUUGUCAUUAUUGAAGGUAAAAAAAAAAAAAAAGCAUGCAUGGAAGUCCUUGUAUUAGGAGCCAAAUUUCAUUUUACCUCGUUUACUCAAAAAAUAAAUAAAUUAGUCUCUAUACAUUGGAUUAAAGAGUAAACUGGUUAUUUCUAUUAAAAGUCCCAUCCAUUUCUAAUAUUAAAAUUUGGUGUGACUGAUAAAAUAACAAAACAGUUACACAUAGCAUGCCAUGUAUACCUUUUUUUGACAUAUAGGGACCAAUUUUUAACAAUAGAAAUAGAUGAAAUUUUUAACAGGAGGACCAGAUUGCUUUUUGAUCUAAUGUAUAAAAACUAAUUUGCCAUUUUUUUUGUAGAGAUGGAAAAAUAUAAUUCAACUCCUAGUACAAGGGUCUCUACGAUACUUUUACCAUUAUUUUAUCUAACAUGAAAUGGAUAUAAUAAUUCAUAAAUAUAGUGACUUUAGACUUUUGGGUUAAUUUCAUUGCAUGUCCUCAAAAUUAUGGUUAAAAUUUUAGAUUGGUCAGCUUCAUAAAGUUGUGUUUGAAUCCUACUCAUACCUUCCAAAUAUAUAUAUAAUUGUCGUAUCAAUUACAUCAUUUUGUCAAAGAUGCUCAUUGUUACCAUAAAACCUUCGAAACCCUUAAAUCGAAACAAAAAUGAGUUUAACAUCAAUACUAACUGAGCUAAUUAAACUCAACCGACAACUAUCAGAUUCAAUGUUAAAUGCCAAAUGAAACUUGAAAUGGGACAUGAUGAUCACAUUUUAAACAUUAGUGACUACAUGAAAAACUUGAAUUUGACAUGCUAAAAAAUAACCUUCUUGAUUUUUAACAACACUAUAUGUUUUAGUGCAUUAGACCAAUAUUGUCCAUGCAAUAUAGGUAUACACGCUUUUACAAUUGAAUCCACGUGUUCGAACCGACAUUUAAUACCUAAACGGGUAAUUGAAUCGAUAAAAAAAUAUAAUCGAUACAAUACCAAUACCUAUAAAAAUAUAUUGAAAUUUAUGAAUUAAUUUAAAUUUUAAACCGUAACUCAAAAACUUUUGGUGAAAUUAACCCUAAAUCAAAAGGUUGGUUCUUCAAUUUAAUCCAUUGAUUCAAAACCAAUGAAAUCAUGAUAGGGCUUGUUGUAAUUUAGUGUAAGAAUUAGACUUCUUUGUCUCUUCCAUUUUCAAUCAGUUUCAGCUUUUUAUCUAACAGCUUAAACAUGCAUUGCCUUUUUUUAGUCCAAUCAUAUUACUGCAGUUACAGAAUCCAAAGCAAGUAAAAGUUGACUUAUUCACAACUAAAUAAAUAUCUCAGCUCAUAAUUUUGGUUUUGGGUUUUUUUUUUUUAAAUUACAAUUUCAGGCAAAAAAUAAAAUAAAUUCUUUAAACAAUUUGAAAUUCAAAAUGCAUUUGUAGUUAUGUGAAUACUUACCACCAAUAAAUUUGUGUCAUUUUUAGUUACAUGUUCAACUGAUGGAUAAAAAUACCACGAAGACCUUUGAAUUAAGAGUCAGAUUGCAUUUUACUCCGUUUACGUAAAAAUAGUCAAAUCCGUCCCUCUACGUUAGAUCAAAAAGAAAAUUAAUUAUUCUGUUAAAAAUCGGUCUUUAUACAUCAGUAUAAAAUACAUGUGAUUGUUUAGUUAUUCCAUCAGCUACAAUAAUUUUUAAUAGUAACAAUGCAUUUAAUUUUAAACAGAAAUAAUUAAUAUGUUUUUUAAUCUAACGCAUAGAUACUAUUUUAUCUAUUUUUUAAAUAAAAAAUAUAAAAUACAAUAUGUACUUCUAUAACCCAAAUUUAUGUGAAGUUUGAAUUUCGGAUUUUUAAAUUCGAAAAAUAAUUUAUUGGUGAGAAUGAAAGAGGGAACACUGUCCAUACAAGUGUCAUAAGCCAAUUACUCCAAUUGUUUAUACACAUUAAAACUGUUUUUACUGUGACGUUAAUGGACAAAAACGAACAUGCCUUUUUAUGACAGAACAGUGAAGCAGAUCCAGGGACCAAUCCUCAAAAUUCAGUUCUAAUAGACACAAAAUGUAAAAAAUUAGCAACACUGUGGGCGGGAUCAAAGCUCAAAAAUAAAAUUAAUAUAACUUUUAUUCUUUAAAUUUUGAAAUUAGGUCUUAAUUUAUGUUGGUGGCAUCUAAUUAAAGAUUGUCAUAAUAAUAGGAAACAUCCCAUAGUUUAUCAUGUCAUCUAGUUUCAACACUAAAGAGAGAAAUUGAGUUCCAGAUAAAAGCAACGUCUUCGAUAACUGAUUUAACAAGUUUCACGUCACCAACGCAAUUUUUAAAUUUUUUACGUGGCUUGAUCAAACUGCUACAGUCUCUUUAUUUCUGUCUUUUAACCCCAGCUGCUGAUUUAAAAAAGAUCUCAUGGGUCUAAUUAUAAUAAGACCUCACCUUACAUGUUACCUCUACUUUGGUACUUAACCUUGACAAUUAAGUUUAUUUUGAUGCUUGAGCUUAACAAAUGUAAAUUUGGUGAUGUACUCAAUAUGAUUAUGCCAUGUCAUCAUCUAAAAAUUUAAAAAAAAAUUAUAAAAUUUGAAUGAUGAUGUGACACGAUAUUAAAAUGUCACAUCAUCAAAAUAUAAUGAAAUUUAAGUUAAAGGACUAAAAUAGAUUUAGUUACGAAAUUCAGGUAUCAAAACGGGCAGAAAAAAGUACAAGUACCAAAGUCAAUAUAAUUAUCAAAUUUAGGGACUAAGAGUUAUAUUAACCCAAAAACCAACCUUGAACCAAUGGUUCGUUUUGAAUUUCAAAACACUCAAACAGGACCUUGUAAAACCACCUUUCUCUCUUGAACUUCUUCAUUAUUUUUUUACACAAAAGCUUUGCCCUUCUUUUGCUUCUUUGAGAUGCUUUUUUGAACUGUGUCGAUGGGUGCUUCAGGGAAAUGGGUAAUAUCUCUUAUUGGUCUCAAAAUAACCCAAAAACAACACCAAGUAAGCUCUGGGUUUUCUAUGUUAUUCCACCGUAAAAAUCUUUAUAUACAUUUUAAAGAUUUAAAGCUCUUUCCUUUUUGUGUGUUUAUGUAGGAGAAAGUGAAUAGCAACAAGAAAUGGAAGCUAUGGAGAAAGUUUAGAUCAGAUUCUCAAAGCUCUGAUUCUUUCAUUGCUGCCAUGGCCGCCAUUGUUCGAGCUCCUUACAAAGAUUUCAGUUUUUUAAAGCAAGAAUGGGCUGCCAUUCGCAUUCAAACAGCUUUUCGUGGCUUCUUGGUAAAGUUGAAGUCUUUUUUUUUUUCCUUUACAUGUUUGGUAUCCGAGAAAGUGAUGGAAUGUGAAAAAAUAAACUUUAUUUCCAAUGGUAGAGUCCUUCGUUAUGUUACUCCCAUUUGAAUUAUAAAUUUUUGAGAGAAUUAAAAAUUUAAUUUCUUCGUUGUAUUAAUAUGUAAAAUUUUACAAUUUUCAAAAGUAAUAUAACCUUUUCGUUUUUGGAGAGAGUAUAAUUGAAUUUUAAAAUUUAGUAGGGGCUGAAAUACAAUUUUAUUAUUAAAUCAACUUAAAACUUUACAAAUAUUUAAGAGACUAAAGGAGGUGGCCAAGCCCCUCACUUCCUCCCUCUAGCUUCACCCUUGUUACUCGGAUUCGGGUUUGAAUGCGAAUUUUUAUAUGUAGGCAAGGAGAGCAUUGAGGGCUUUAAAAGGAAUUGUGAGGCUACAAGCUUUGGUUCGAGGUAGACAAGUUCGGAAACAAGCCUCGGUGACGCUUCGAUGCAUGCAAGCUCUCGUUCGUGUUCAAGCUCGAGUCAGGGCUCGUCGUGUUCGAAUGUCGAUCGAAGGACAAACGGUUCGGAAGAUGCUUGAUGGUCAUCGUAGCAAGGACGAUGUCUUGAAACAAGCCGAGGUAACGCUUAACCGAAACAUUCAUUAAAUUAUCACUUUCAAUCAAUGUUUUUAAAACCGGACCUGUGGUUUGCCUACUUGUUCGAUUAAAAAAUAUUUAAAAGAAUCGGUUUAACCACUGGUUCAACUUAUUUUUUAGUCACUCUAACAAGUUCAAUAUCAUUCUAUUGACCGAGAUCCGGGUCUAAUUGUCUCACCGGUCACUCCGGUCUGAUUCAAACAUCUCUACUUUUGACUAAUGAAUGUUAUUGAACAUUUAUUUUUUUAGGAUGGUUGGUGUGGUAGCAAAGGGACAUUAGAGGAUGUUAAAACAAAGCUACAAAUGAGGGAAAAAGGGGCUUUCAAGAGAGAAAGGACUCUUGCUUAUUCACUUGCUCAAAAGGUAUAAACUUUUUUGCGAUUUUUUCAUAUUAAUUUUCAGAAGAUGAUUGAUGUUCUUUGUGUUUUUACAGCAAUGGAAGUCAGUCCCGGGUUCAACUACUCGAACAGAUGGUUUGAUUCCGUGUCUUAUAAGCCAAGAGUUUGAUAAGAACAGUUGGGGAUGGAAUUGGCUCGAACGUUGGAUGGUAGCCAGGCCAUGGGAGACGCGGUUGAUGGAACUGUCAACACGUACCGACCCUUCGAAGACUUGCUUAGAGUCCCUCUCGGGAAAGAAUGAAAGAUGUUCGGAACCGUGCUCAAUGAAAGCGAGGAAGAACAAUGUCACCACUAGGGUAUCCGCAAAGCCGCCGCCUCAUACUAGGCAAGUUACUGGAUCAUCUUCAAGUCCAAGUUCUGAAUUUCGAUUCGACGAAAGCUCGGGUUCAUCGUCAAUAUGCACUUCUACAACACCAGUUUCCGGAACCACCGUCUUGCCAUCGGGUGCAACGGGGGACAGUGGCAAUAGUAGGCCGAACUACAUGACCAUGACGGUGUCUACCAAGGCGAAACAAAGAAGUGGCAAUCACGGAUUCCAAAGGCAGUCCAUGGAUGAGUUCGAGUUCAAGAGGUCAGCUGGUUUCGAUAACAGAGAUUCAAAAAGCUCAAAGAGAGGAAAUUGUUUGUAUAAUUAAAACGGGAUUUGAUUGUAUGUUACUUGAAAAGUCCAACAUCUUGUUGCUCAUUGUUAUUAGUAUGUCAUUGAGAAUUGAAAACCGAUUUGAGUUGUAAUGUUUGAUUGGAUUAUUUUAAACUCGGAUUAAUUUAUUCUUUGAUUUACAAGUUAAAAAAGCGUAAAUAAUAGAGUUGAAUUUAAUUUAAAAUUAGUUUUAUUUUUAUAUGAAAUAGCAAACGGGUCCUUUUUGUUAAAAAUUUCGUUCAUCUCUACUAUUAAAAAUUCUCAUAGCUGACAAAAUAACCAAAUAAUGACAUGUUUUUCUCAUGUUGACGUACAAUGACUAGUUUUUAAAAGUAGAAAUGGAUGAAACUUUUUAACAGAAAUAUCAAUUUACUUUUUGAUUUAAUGUAUAGGGACUAAUUUACCAAUUUCUUAAGUAAAAAGGAUAAAUGCAAUCCAAUUUUUAGUAUAAAAGCCUCAACAUUACUUUUAUUGACAAUUGUGUUAUAUUAGAAAGAAUUGUUAAAAUUUAAUUAAGUAAUUUUCUAAAUUGAAAGACUCAAAUAUAUAAAAAAAAAUUAAAAGAAAAACUUGAUUGCAUUUUUCGAAAUAAUUGGAGUACUGUUUAUAACAUGAAGCUUAGAGUUAUAUUACUAAUAACUUAAUUUAUUUUUGUAAUUUCUAGGCAGUAUCAUAGAGGUGAUUAUGGGUUAGACGGUCCAGUUCGACCCGAUGACCCGUCUGAAAUAUGGGAGGGUUUGACCCGACCUGACCCGGCCCAUGAUCACCUCUACAACAUCAUCAUCAUUCAGCAAUUUCAAAUCAUAAAAUUGAAGAUAAUUAUUAAAAAGAAAAGGAACCCUUUUUUGGUGCUUAAAAAAACAUAUAAACCAUUAGUUCAAAAAUAUUUAAUUAUCAUUUUUAAAAAGCUAAUAUUGAAAAAGUAAAAAGCUUUUAAUUAGUUGCCAAAAAAGUAUUGAAAAAGGAAAUGAAUGGAAAAACCAACUUUUGGUGGUCCACUAUUUGCACUAUACUUGAUUUUUGGGUCAUCCUAAAAUAAAUAAAUAAUUGAAUAAUUUUUUUGGUAAAAGUAUAAUAUUUAAUUAAAGUCUUAAUAAAAAAUUUAAAGUUAUCUUUUGAAAUUAUUUUUUUCAUUCAUGCUAUUAUUAUUCAUUAAGUGAUGAUACGACAGAUGACACGGUUUUUUACUAUUUAAAAAUAUUAUAUCCAACAACAAAACAUAAUGUAAAAUGGUCUCUGUUGUUUAUUGGGAAUAAAGUAGCAUCUAGUCUUCGAACUUGACAACUUUUUCAACCUUAUUUCUUGAAUUUCUUUUUGAUCAUGUUAAUCUCCCGACUUGGCAGUUUCUUUAUUUUUCAAUUUGGUCCAUGAACUUAGCUUCUAUUAAUAUAUGAUGACGUGAUACUCUGAGAUUGCGUUAUGUAAUAGUUGAGGGAUUGAAAUAAAACAAAAUCAAUAAUUUAGUGAUGAUUAUUGUACUUUACCCUAAUUUAAAGUCAUACUUUGGAUUCAUUUAAAAUAAAAUUACAAAAUGAUCAUUAAUCCAUUCGAAUGUUUUCAUUUAAGUCAUUAAACUAAUAGAAAGUUUUUGUUUAAGUCAACGGCUAUUAAGUUAUUUUUUUUAAAAAGUCUAGCAAGCAAGCGACGAUUUGAUGAUUGAUACGGUGAACCAAUACCCAUUGAUGAGUAAAAGAGCAUACUUUAGAUCUAAGUCAAUCUAACAAUCAAUGCUAGAGAUUGAAAAAGAAAGCAAUGUAGAUUUUGAUUCGUAAAUCGUGAUGUUCAAAAUUAUUUUAUGAAAAAAAAACUAAACUGUAAAAAAAAAUGAGAGCUUUCGAUUGGAAUAGUCGGUACGAACCAAAAAGGCCAUAUAAUGACAGUUUCAACAACCUAAUGACUUAAAUGAAAAUUUUCGAAUAAUUCAAUAAUCAUUUUGUAACUUUUUAAAGUCGAGUAACUAAAAUAUAAAUUUACUAACAAUUUAAUAACUUUUAUGUAGUUUACACUAAAAAUAACUUGCGAUCCAUAAAGACUAAUCUAUUUAAAACACGUGAUUGCUUCACCCAAUAAUGUUUUGUGUGUGCAUUCAAUACUUAACUGUGUAUAUAUACAAACAUUUCAAUAAUUUAGAUAAUGGAAUUAAAAAAUUAAAAAAAAGAAUAAAAUAUUCUGGCACAAAUGUGUACCAAAAUUUAAUACCCUUAAAAUUAUUACCCAAUGACCUAUCAAUUAUCACUGCCCCAACAUGAUUAUUAUUACCACGUGUACGGAUCUGAUCGGAUAGUUUUCGGAAGGGGACGUAACCUUCAAAGCGCGACAAAGAUUCAGAUCAUGACAUCAUCAGGUCCCACUAUCUGACCCCCUGAUGUGUCUCCGUCAACCGGUCAACGAACUCAAUUUCUUGAUUAUUAAUCUCAUUUUUUAAGAUAUUAAUUAAAAAUGUUUUUUAAGAAUUUUUUAUUUAACUUUUCGGUUCAUACUGAUUUUUAUAUCAAUCGGUCAAAUAUUUUUUUUCUUUAAAUUGGUAUAUUUCUUAGUUCGGCUCAAAUAAUUAUGGGUUUUUUAGAAUCUAGUCAUGGCAAGUUGAUCAAUUUUAGUUCCUAUAUAUAUUUUUUAAUUUUAAAAUUUUAGUGCUACCAAAAAAAAAUAGUAAUUAAAUUUGUUUGGUUAAAUUAUGUUAUUAAUUUUGUAUUAUGUGUAAAGUUAUAGUCUAUAUAUUUUCUGAAAUUCGAAAUUUCAAUCUUAGCACAAACAGUAGUUGUUAAAUCACUUAACUGACUCUUCUAUCAAUAAUAUGUGAAAAUAACAAGCUCACUUGGCAUUAAUCACGUGAUAAUAUGCUUGUCGGGUAAUAUUUUGAAAAGAAAAGAACUCGAUGAAUUUAACAACUAAUAUCUCGUCGGGAUUAAAAUUUUAAAAUUUUAAAAAUACAAAAAUUACGAAUGAUCAGAUCAAAAUAUCAAAAUUAAAUCCAUAACAUGCUUAUAGUACAAGAGCUAAUAAUAGAAUUUAAUCUAAAAUCACCGCAUAAAAUUUAUUUUAAAUAGUCAUAAAUAUUAAGUUAAUCAAGUUGUAAACUUUUUGAAUAAUUUUGUGUGAUUCAAUUUGAAUUUUAUAAAAAUAUACAAAGUGGUGAACAAUUAUUUUGAUUUUAUAUAAAUAUGAGUAAAGCUAUUUCAAUAAUAUUUAUUACUUAAAAGUUUUUUCAAUCGAAUAAUUAUGAAAUUAUUUUAUUAUAUGAUAGAGCAACCAAGCAUCAAAUAAAUGUUGCAUUUGUAUGGAUCUGAUUCCUAUUUAAGAAAUGGUUGUUGACGGUAUAGUAUUUAUGGGACCUUAGUUUAUGCAUCCAUCAAUUAUCAUCUCGGGGUAUGGUACAACAUAUCGAUGUACAUUAAAUUCCCAAUUCUAUUUCAUAUAUUAAUUGAUUUUUUUAUUUUUUAUAUUUAUUUUAUGAUUCACGUUGAGGGUUUGUUGCUGCUCUUCUUAACAAUAUCGUUUUUGAAGUUUAAACUCACAAUCUCUCGUUAAGAGAUUGCUGCACCCAAAAUUUCACCUUUUAUGUUUUAUUUUUACCAUUUGUAAUAGCUAUUUAUGAAUUUUCAUCAAAUCAAUUUUAAAACACGUAUUAAAUAUUAAAAAGUUAACGCUAAUAUCUUUAAGUAUCAAAAUAUAUAAUUUUUGUCAAAGUCAAUAAAAUAAUAACUUAUUAUAAGAUUCUAUUUAAUAAAAUUUGAAUAAUUCUACUAUGAUAUUUUUUACAUAUAAAAAAAAGAGAGUUAAAUUCUACUAUUAAUUUCUACAUUAUGUGCAGGUUGUAUAUUUAGUACAUGUACUUUAAUUGGUCAUUUUCAAUUCUUGUUCUUUUCGAAAUUUAAAAUUUUUAGUCCCAAUCAAAUGGUAGCUAUUAAAUCGAUUAAGUUGCAUUCUCCUAUUUUCAAAAUGUGAUGCGACAAACAUAUUAUUGUAUGUGUAAUACCAUGUCAGCUUGUUAUUUUCACAUAUUAUUUUCAAAAAGACCAGUUAAUAAAUUUAACGAUAAUCCAUUGCAUUAAGAUUGACGUUUUGAAAUUCAAAAAAUAUAUAAAUCAAGAAUAAUUUUAUUGGAAAACAUGGACUAAAUCUAAAAUUUUAUGUAAAAUAUAAGACUAUAGAAAAGUUUAGCCAAAAAAAUGUAUUUACCACCAUCUAGUUCGGACUAAAAUUGAUCAUUUUGAAAAUUACAUAGACUGAAAUUGAUCAAAUUUAAGUGCAUAUAUUAAAUUCACAAGUUAUUCAAAGUACAAUAGGUCUAAUAACAAAUUUUGACCUAAAAAAUGAAGAUGAAGAAUCAGUGUUUUCAUAAUCGGAUUAGUGGUCAAACCAUCCACUCUCGACUUGAUUAAAUAAAUUUAAAAUUAAAAGGUAUUUAAAAAAUAUUAACUAUUAAUUUAAUCAAAUUUUUAAUCCAUCCAACCGAAGUACUCCAAACAGUGUGGAAUAAUUGAAUUGGAGAGAGGGUUAAGUGGGACCCCAAGUAACAAGGACAACGCUUGUGAUGUAAUUCGCUUUGCUUAUUCAGAUAUCAUCACAUGGCGGACAUCAUAUUUAUUUACCACCAUCAACGGUGUUCCUUUAAUCGGAAACCCUUCUAAUUGAUGAUGGUGGGUCCACACAUAUAAACCCUUCUAGUUUAUGUUUGCUAUGUAUAUGUCUUUUGGACUUUAGUUUCUUCCAGCUAUUCAUCAAAAUUUGUUUUUUUUAAUAAAAUAAUUAUUAAUUAUUUAAAAUUUCAUUUAAGUUGUUAAGUUGUUAAAAUUAUUGUUAUAUGAUCUUCUCUACUUGCACCGCCUGUACCGAUCAAAAGCUUUCAUUUCUCAUUCACUCUUACAGUUCAAUUUUUUUCAUAAAGCAACUUUGAAUGCCAUGAAUUUGUGAAUCAAAAUCCAAACACAUUUUUUCUUCGAUCAUUGACAUUAAUUGUCAAAUUGACUUAGAUUUAAGGUAUGUUCUUCUACUCAUCUAUAGGUAUUGACCUAUUAUACCGAUUGUCAAAUCGUCGCUAGGAGCUUACUAAUCAGACCUUAAAAAAAAACUUAACAACCUAGUUUAGUGACUUAAAUGAAAACUUUUAAAUAGUUUGCCAACCAUUUUGUAACUUUUGAAGUUGAGUGACCAAAACAUAAACUUACUAAUAGUUUAGUAACAUUAGAGAUUGUUUACCAUUGAUUUUUAUACCGUUCCUAGUAUUAUCCAUAGUCCUGUAACCCAAAAUCCAACAAUAAUACGUGCUUAAAACACUUUUGAAUCCAUGUUCUCAUUACUGUUGCCGCAAUAACAAUAUCCAUUGAGUUAAAACUCAAUUGGCCUCCCUUUUAAAUUUUGCAAUUACUAUUAAUAUAAAUUUUAGUAUUUUAAGAAUAUAUGUAAUCAUUUACGAGUCUCCAUUCAUAUCAUGUGUAGUUGUCAUGGAUGAAUUUUUCAUUUGAUGAUAGUCUAGUUCUUUAUCCAAUUACGUGUUAUAUUGGUUUAAUUGUUCGAACACAAAUUUAUAACUAUAUUGCAAUUAGAUUAUAUUUAUACUUGUGAAAUUAAAAUUUCUAUAAUGUUUGAUCUUUCUUCAUAUUUAUUUUAAUUGUUAAUCCAAUAGUUUAUUUUUUUUUUGGCACAAUUAAUUCAAUAGUUUAUUUUAAUAAUUGAUGGUGAUUAUGGUUAUAAUUGUAACAACUUCAAAAGAAAGUUUGGAUUAUUCUAGAUGAAUCGAUUAAGCUAAAUUCCACGUGGCGCAGAUUUAUUGGACAAAAUUUGGAACCAGAGAGAUGUGGAGGGCCCACAGUCUCCAUGCCACGUGUCAAGCAGGAGAUUGUCCUGAUCACGUGUGAGGUGUAAUUUGGGUUAAUGACUUCUAAAGGGGCCAAAAAUGCAUUCUUUUUUCCUAUUUAACCAAGGAGCUACAAUGGAUUAAGUUGAAAAACUAAAAUUUUUAAGAGAGGCUGAAAAUGAAUUGUACCAAUUAAUGGGGGUCUCCCAAUUGAGUCCAAGUUUUGGAAUCUAAAAUAAUUUAAAUUUAAAGUGGAUAUAAAUAAAAAAUAAAAUAAAUUGAUCCAACUCCCAAGAAUCCCAAAAGAAGUUAAAGAAGGUAUGUGCCGCAGUCCUUUGUGAUGUAAGCAAAUUAUAAUAGCCUAAAGCCCCACUUGGUUUAUAUUUAAGUCUCACACCCCACUUUGUUUUUCUAUUUCAUAUUACCACAGUCACUCUCAUAUAUAUGAUUUUUGAAAAUAUUUCUUAGGUUUCUUUUUUAAAUUUAAAAAACCCUCUUUAAUUUCACAAAAUUUUUAAAAAUUUUAAUUAGUCCCUCAAAUUUUUUUUUUGAAAAAAGUUGGUAAACUCAUAAAAUUUUUGAAAAUUUCUCAUUAAUAUAAACUGAAAUUGCAAUUUUUUUUAUUAUACCCAAACUUGUGAAAAUUUUUAAUUCAGCUCCCAAUAUAUAUAUAUAUAUAUAUAUAUAAGUAUACAUAAAAGAAUAAAGCUAACUUUGUUUCUCUAUUGGCAAUGCAAAGCCUAAGAAGUUGGUCAAGUGACGUUGUGCACCUUGAUCUCACAUCACCACCUUCUUCCUCUUCCUCCAACACCACCCCCAUGAGCACCACCGCCACAAGUGGCGGCAGCAGUUGUCUCUCCAUCGACGAGGAGGCAUCGACGGAGACUCGAAUCCAAAGACUGAUAUCGGAGCACCCCGUCAUCAUCUUCAGCCGAUCAUCAUGUUGCAUGUGUCACGUCAUGAAAAAGCUCUUGGUCACCAUCGGGGUUCAUCCUACCGUCAUCGAACUCGAUGACCGUGAGAUGGCUUCCCUCCCUCCUCCUCCUCCUCCGUCGUCAUCUCCAACUCACGGUGGCAUCCCCUCCAUGAACCACCCUUCCCCCGCCGUGUUUAUCGGUGGAACCUGCAUCGGUGGCCUUGAAUCCCUCGUGGCUCUUCACCUCAGUGGUCACCUCGUUUCAAAGCUCGUUGAAGUUGGUGCUCUCUGGGUAUGAUAUAUAUAUAUAUAUAUAUAAACAUUAUAUUAUAUAUAGCUUUAAAAAUCAUGUAAUGAUCAAGCUUUCCAUUUUUAAUGCUUCUUCAAAUCUGGAGUUUUUUUCCUUUCAUUAUUAUUAUAUAAAUCGAUAAACAUAAAAAUGAAGCAAUCAAUGAGUGGUAUGGGUCAUUUAAAAGUGGGGUCUUUUUGCCAAUUAUUGAGUAUUUUUGAGCCACGAAAAUUUUCUCAUUGUAGAUGAAAAUUUCUCAUAUACACAUAUAUGGUUUAAUACAUGACUGUGAAUGAAUUAACUCAGUUUAUCUAUGUUAAAUCAAAAAGUCAAUUAAUUCUUUAUAUUAUUAAAAAUUAAUGUGGUUGACGAAAUAAUCGAACAGUGAUAUGUGAUUGUCACAUGUACUUCAUGCAUGCUGAUGUACAUAUACCAGGUGUUAAUAGUAGAAAUAGAGAUGAAAUGGUUUACAAAACGAUCCGUUUACUCUUUGAUCUAAUAUUCAAAGACUAAUUUACUCAUUUUUUCAAGUAAAUAAAUCAAAAUGUAAUCUGAUUUGUAAUUCAAGUACAAUAAUUGGAUUUAAUUUGUACAUAAAAUUACUGGCUCUGAGUGUAUCAAAUUUGGGGGGAAGGGGGGAAUCUGACAAAGAAGAUGAGCUUAAAUAGAAGGCAAAGACAUGGUACUAAACUGUUACCUACACAGCAGACAGUAGUUAAUGCUGUGUCAUAGCUUCAGUUUAACAACCUGAUCAGGUUGUUGAAGACGGGAGUAGGAUGAGAUCAAAUUUAGGUAUCGAGAAUGAACUAUGAUCAAGUUCAUUUUUUUUUUUAUUAAAUGAAUCUCUUUUUCUUUUAGUUCAUUUUUUAAUCUAAUAUUUCUACUCCAUUUUUUUAAAUAAUGGAUAAAUCAAUAUGUUAAAUUUUUUUUCUUUUGGAGUUUUGGUAUUUUGAGGCUAUUUUGUUCCGAUAAACCUCAAGUUCCAAGUGUUAUUAGGUUUAAGUUGUUUGAGUUUGUUGGGAAAAAAAGAAAAUAAAAAGAAAGGAGUGAAAAACCUCGAUGGGGAUGUUAAAGCAUGAAUAAAGACUAUUGAGCCUUGGAAUAAAUGUAAUCAGAGCGGAAUUCACAGACAGUGAAUUGAGCAGUAAGGUUAUAAAUAAUUGAAGUGAGUUCAUUUCCAUGUACUUUUCAAGUGAUUUUAGGCUGUUUUUUUAUAUCAUCCACACACACACACUGUCCUAUCACAUAAGCGAACUUAUGGAUCGAAUCCUGAUUUCGGAUACGAAUGAUGGAUGAAUACUGAUGUGUGCUUGUUUCGGUAUAACUUAAGUGUGCAUAUUAUAAUAUACGUUUUUUAUAAUCUUCUUUUAGUUUUGGGGUUUUGAUAAAAUUUUGAUUAUUACAAAUUCAAGUUAUGUCGAUUUUUUUAUGAUCAAAUUGAUUUUAAAUAUUGAUUAAGCUUAUGUGUUAACGAUUAACACCCUAUUCCAUUUGCAUGCAGUUUGAGUAUGGAUUUAUAUACCGUAAUCUAUAAUUCUCAACUUCAUUCUAUUGUAGUCUCUUGAUAAAAAAAGGGUGUCGAAAUUUAUUUAUUCUUGAACAUAAUCAUCGUAGGAAUUAAAAACAAGUUUAGCUAUCCAACAAAUAUGAAAAGGUGGAACAAGACACAUAAGCUUUUAUACCAACAAAUGAUGUUUUGGUUUAGGCAACUGAAACAUCGAGUAUUAGCAUGUUCAGCAUGAUUUUCUGAGACAUCAUCACUUUUUAAAUGUCUGUAUUUCAAAAAAAUUUAUCUAAUAAUUUCAUUAAAUAACCUUGUUCAACUUUGUUUAUAAGUGCUUGUGUUACUAAGAAUUUCGGGUUUGGGUCAUUUUCACGACUAUUUUGUAAUUAUUAUUGUUAUCACCGAGUUUAUGUAUAUUUUUGAGUUUGCUUAAAUAUUUCUAACUUUUAAUAUCUAUAAAGGAAAAUUAAAUUUUUUUUUUAAAUAUCAAUGUAAUUUCAACUCAAGUUUGAGGCUUGGCAUGAUCAAGCCACCCAAAUAGUUUAUUUCACUGUUUAAAAAAUAAUAAUAUUUAAAUAUUAAUAUAAAAUUGUUUUUACUUAUUUAAAAAAUAAUAAUAAACCAAGCUGGAUCGAGUUGUCUUGAGAUUGAAAAUACUAAACCCAAGGUCAGUCUAACAUGGGAUGGACCAUCUGGCUCAUGAGCAUUUCUACUGCCAACAAAUAUCUUUAACCAUUGCUCCCUUAUUUUGUCGGCUAUUUUGAUUUGGUGAUUAAAUUGUAUGCAUGUAAUUUUGUUUCAGUUGGGCAUAUUUAGAAAAACAAAUAAAUCAUGCCGGUAAAUAUAUUGUUCGUGCAUGUAUAAAAAAGAGAGAGAGUAAAUUUCAAAUACUAUUAUAGGCUUAUUAUUGUAUUAAUAAUUUGUGAAAAGUGAUCGAAUUUUAAAAUUUAUAAAUAUAAUCACGCAAAAUCAAAAUUUGUAUAUCAUAUAAAAUUAAUAUAUAAUUUUGAUAUAUAUUGUUUUCAUAUAUGGUAAUUAAUUAUCGAAAUUAGAUCAAUAAUUAAUAACAUAAAGUAGAUUUAGAACUUAAGUGGGGGGGGGGUUGAAUGUGACUAUAUUAUAGCUUUUGUGCACCUAAAGCAACCACAUGCUUCAUUGCUUUUUCUUUUUUCAAUUAAUCUAACAUUCCAAACUAUAUCCUUCAACUACCCUUCAAAAUUAUAUGGAUAUUCGUUUUUGAAAGGUUGAAUAUGCUACCAUGAUUAUUAUUUUUCAAAUAAAUUAAAUUUCAUUAUACAUAAUAAAAUAAGGGUAGUAAUAACUGUAAUUAAUUUUAUCACUACAUGAACGGAGAUGAUGGUGCGCAUCGACCAACAAUUGUAAUCAAGGGCGAAGUUAUUUUAUAUUGCUAUAAUUUGUUAUUAGAUCAAAAAAGUUCAUUCUAAAAAGGUCACAGUAUAAUUUUAAUAUUUAUUAAAUUAAAAUCUUAUAAAAUGUAAAAGGUUAAAAGUUUAGGGGACUGAAGCUAACCCUAAGGCUAGUUGCACCGAGAGACAAUGAAGAUUUUAUUUCUAUGUAAUGGUAAAAAAAAUUAUGUUGUCGUCACGUAAUAUCCGUCUCUAUAAAUAUAAAUGAUUUGAUUUGAAUCCACAAAACACAGGGUAUAGGUCGGUCCAAUGUAAUUUGAUUUAUACUUGGAAAAUCAAUACCUAUUUAAAUAAUUUAGAGGAGAGUAUUGUAUAUGAAGAAAAGCUCUUUUCUUGAAGGACUAAGCUAACAUCACGUGGUUAUAUUUUACUACAAAAUUGUGAUUGUGUUAGGUUUGACUUCAUUUCUUGUCCUCCAACUAACAAUAUUUUCAUGAUGUAAACUUCAAUCUUGACUAAUUAAGUAUAAAUAAUAAUAAUAAUAAUAAUAAUAACAACCAAAGCUGUCAAAUUAAUUGGAAAAUUUCUAUUAGGGAUGAAUUAAUAUCUACUCCAUCACAACUUUUUCUAACUUUAUUCUUGACAUAUUUUGUCUAUUUCGAAAUUUGUCAGCUUUAUUAGGUGAUGAAUGACACGACACAAUUUUAAAGUGUCACAUCAUUAUGUUUUAAUAAAAUUUAAAUUCAGAGACUAAAUUAGAAAAAGAAGUUCCUAAAUUUCGAGACUAAUGCAAACAAAAAGAUCCCGUCACCAAAAUGAAAAAAUUAUGACUGAAUUUCAUAUUAUCAAAAAGGAAAAACAUGAGAAAAUUCCAAUCUUAAUCUUAAAAUUACUUGCAACUUGAAAGAAUUUUCAUUUAUAAUAUUUCUCUAUGUUUAGAUCUAUUCAAACAUUGAAUUAUUUGAUGAUUAAAGUGAUUGGACCGUUAUUUCUACCAUAUAAUAAAACAGAUGUAUUUAAAUUUUCCUCUUUUAAGGGUGAGUUUGGAUGGGCAGUGCGAUUAUCUGCGGUUAGUGUAAAAACAGUGGUGGCGGUGAGAUUAGAUACUGUAACGUGAGACAAAAAGUAAGCUAAACGCACCGCACCGCACCCAAACCCAAUCGCCCAUCCAAACCUACCCUAAGUCAACAAGAUUUUAUAUUAAUUACAAGGGGUAAGUUUUGAGCAAUAAAAUCUCAAAUAGUUAAAACCUAUUUAUUUACAUACCUUUUUUAGAAUUUAUUUAAAAGGAAAACCACCCAUAUUUAACUAAAAAAAGUAUUUUGUUAUACAAUUGCUUUCAUUUAAUUCAAUAGAAACACAUUUAAUUUUUUUUCUAUAAAAAGUAUUAUAAUAAAUAUAAAUAAGUUUCAUUUUAUCUUUUAGAUAAUUUAUUUUAAAAAUAUAAAAAAGCAACCACUACAUUUUGUUAAAUUUAAAAAGGUUAAAUAUGCUUCAAAUCUCUGUAUUCUUUGUACAUUUAGCAUUUAGUCCCUCUCCUUUAUUUUUCAUGAAUUUAGUCUCUGUACUUUUCAGAUUUCAAAAUUCAAGUUUAAUUAUUAACACUGUUAAAAUUAUUCCAUUAAAUUUGUCAAUCUGAGAGUUUCAAAUUAAACAAAAAACCAUUGAAAUGAACUUGAAUUUAACAAAAGAAUGUUAAUAGGGUUUAACGAUAAGACUUAUAUUUUUAAAUUAAAAAAAGUAGAGGGACUAAAUCUGUCCUCAUUCAAUUUCAUCCUUCUCUUUUUAUUUUGGCUUUUGCUUUGCAUGUGAGCUCUAUAAACCCCGCCUCCCAUUUUCCUCUACAUCAUGAUAAAUUCAUAUCACUUCCCUUCCAUUCUCCACCACAUUCAAACCCCAUAAAAGAAAACCCCCUUUUUUUUCUCCAUUUCUCACUAAAAAGAUUAUAUCUUUUUGUAUAUUCUUUGUUAGCUUUCAUUUCAUUGGAGCAUCAAUGGCGGAUUCAAAGAGGUACAUUUCCAAAACAGAGCUUGAAACCCACAAAAAACCAGAUGAUCUUUGGAUCUCAAUCCAAGGCAAGAUCUAUAAUGUAACUCAAUGGAGUCACCACCACCCUGGUGGGCCACUUCCAUUACUGAACCUCGCCGGUCAAGACGCCACCGAUGCUUUCAUAGCUUAUCAUCCCGGCAUAGCUUGGCAAUAUCUCGACAAGUUCUUCACUGGUUAUUACCUUGAAGGUUACUUAGUCUCUGAUAUAUCCGAAGAUUAUAGAAAGCUAGCUGUUGAGUUCUCAAAGAUGGGUCUUUUCGACAAGAAAGGACACGGGACAUGUAUUUUACUUACCAUCAUAGCAUUGCUGUUUUUCACUUGUGUUUAUGGUGUUUUGUGUUGUGACAAAACUUGGGUUCAUCUCUGUUGUGGUGGGUUAAUGGGGUUUUUAUGGAUACAGAGUGGUUGGAUAGGACAUGAUUCAGGACAUUACACUGUCAUGUCUAAUAAAAACCUCAACAGGUUGGCUCAACUUCUUACAGGGAAUUGUCUUGCUGGGAUCAGCAUGGGAUGGUGGAAAUGGACACAUAAUGCUCACCAUAUUGCCUGUAACAGCUUAGAUUUUGAUCCAGACCUUCAACACAUGCCUUUCUUCACGGUAUCUUCAAAGUUCUUUAAUUCAAUCACAUCUGCAUUUUAUGGUAGAAAACUGAACUUUGAUUCUCUUACAAGGCUUUUAGUUAGUUACCAACAUUGCACAUUUUACCCUGUCAUGUGCUUUGCUAGGAUCAACCUAUUUGCACAAUCUAUCAUCUUGUUGUUGUCUAAAAGAAAAGUCCCUAACAAAGGUCAAGAAAUUUUUGGGAUACUUGUUUUUUGGACAUGGUAUCCAUUACUCGUCUCUUUCUUACCUAAUUGGUACGAAAGAGUAAUGUUUGUGGUUGUAAGUUUUGCUGUGACCGGUAUCCAACAUGUUCAGUUCUGUUUGAACCAUUUCUCGUCGAGUGUUUACGUCGGCCCGCCGAACGGGAAUGAUUGGUUCGAGAAACAAACCGACGGGACGCUUAAUAUAUUGUGUUCGUCUUGGAUGGAUUGGUUCUAUGGUGGGUUGCAAUUCCAAGUUGAGCAUCAUUUGUUCCCGAGGUUGCCUAGGUGCCAUUUACGGACAAUUUCACCAUUUGUUAAGGAGUUGUGUAAGAAACACAAUUUGGCUUACAAUUGUGCUUCUUUUUGGAAAGCUAAUGCAAUGACAAUUGAGACGCUUAAAUCAGCUGCAUUACAAGCUAGGGUUCUUACCAAUGCUGUUCCAAAGAACUUGGUGUGGGAAGCUGUCAACACACAUGGGUGACAACUAUUUUAUGAAUAUGCUUAUUAUUAUUAUUAUUGCCAUAAAUUUUUAUGUCUGUAAUGUUGACAUCCAUAUAUUUGAGUAUUAAGUUUGUUGUCUUGAAUGGCUGUAAAUUUGUUGUUUCAUUCAAACAUGGUUUUGGUUUUCCACCAUUGGUAAUGUUAUGCUUUUUUUUUCCCAUUUUAUUUUACAUCAAAGAGACAAAUUGAUUGGGAAAGUGGACCCUUGAAAGGGGCAUUGCCAGCAUAGAAUGUGGACCAAUGCUUGAGUUGGCAAGCAUGUCCCCUCUUACAUUUUUUUGUUUGGAUGUGACUAAGGUGUUGUUUUUGUCAAUUUUAUGUUUCUUAAAUACUACUACUUUUAAUGUUUAUAGGAUAAAAGCAACACAAAUAUUUUAUAUUAAGAGUUGGGUUGCAUUUUGUUUUCUCUAUGUAAAAAAGGGUAAAUUAGUCUUUGUAUGCUAGAUCAAAGAGAAAACUAAUCUUUUUGUUAAAAAUUUCAUCCAUUUUUACUGUUGAAAAUUAGUCCAUGUAUGCCAAUGGCACGUUAUGUGCAAUUGUCUAGUUAUUCUAUUAGUCACGCCAACUUUUAACAAAAGAACUAGACGGAAUUUUUAACGGAAAUGACCAGUUUGAUAUUAUAUCUAACGUAUAAUGACUAAUUUACUUAUUUUUUUAGUAAAAAAAUAAAAUUUGAUCAAACAUACAAGGCCUCCAUAUUACUUUUAUCAAAUUCAUAACUAUCUCCUUCAAUAAUAUUAUUUCCAAAAUUCGAAUUAAAAUUCUUUCCCUAAAACUAUACCAUGCCAUGACAAAAAAAGGGAUGAGAUUGUUGAACAGCAAAUGAAAAGCAAUACCCUAUGAGUGAAAAGUGGUAGAGAGGACCCUAAAACCAAAACACUACCCUAUCACUUGCUGUCUACAUUGGAACCACUUGAAAGGUAAAAAACUUUAUGUAGAAUUUAUUUAAAAGGUAGAUUAUAUUUGGUUUAUUUUACUUAAAAAUAAAUAAAUUAGUUCUUAUACGUUAGAUUAAAAAGUAGAAUUUUUUUUUUAUUUUCAUUCAUUUCUACCGUUAAAACUAGCUUCACUGAAGAAAUAACCAUACAAUGACACGUUACAUCCCACGUGUAUCUCAUUUUGAUAUACAAGGACCAACUUUUAACAGUAAAAAUGAAUAAAAUUUUUAACAGAAUGAUUAGUUCACUCUUUGAUCUAAUGUAUAAUAACUAUCUUACUCAUUUUUUGAAUAGAUAAGACAAAAUGCAAUCUGACUCUCAAUAUAAGGACCUCGAUAGUAUUUUUACCUAACUCGAGAUUAUACGAGUCGAUUUAGUUUUAUAUAGUGUAAUUUAAAUUUUAAAAUUUUUGGACAUUCUAAAUAGAUUUCAAGUUGGAAUAUUUUUAAUUUCGGAUAUAAUAAAGAGCCAUGAAAACGAUUUAGAUGGAGGACACAAAGCCAAAGCCCAUUGAUUUAAGUGGACGUCUAAAAGCUAAAUUGUUUGUGUUUUGCCAGAUAUAAAAUAGGUGACACUCGACCCCAAAAUCCAGCUCAUAAAUACAUCACCAUGUGAAACGAAAAAGUGAAAGCGUAAAUAUUAAUAAAUAUAUACAAGCUGAAUACUCAAAAAUUAUUUUGUAAAAAAGUAAAUCAUUAUAAAUAUUAAUUAUAUCUAUUUUUUUAUACAAUACCUAAAACUACUCAUACCUCCUCCCCAAUUCAUAAAUAGGAGAAUAAUCUUCAGCGCACUUGAGCCUAGAGGUGCUCAUGGGUCGGGCGACCCGGCCCGGCAGCCCGCCCGAAAUAUGGGAGGGUUCAGGUAAAAAUAUAGGCUCGAAAUAUGGGUUUGGGCAAAAAACGAGGCCAUUUAGAAAACGAGCCAGGCCUCAGGCACCACUUUUUUUGGCCCUGGCCCGGCCCAGCCCGAAUAUAAAAUAUAUAUAUAUUUAAUUUGGUACCUAUGUUAUUUUUUUAUUCAGUUUAAUACUUAUAUUUGACAAAAAGUUGUAUACUUUGGUACUCAAAGGUAACGAAUGUUAACUUUUUAAUGUUUAAUUCAAAAUUUAGGGUUGAUUUGAUGAAAGUUAAUUGCUAAUUUAAUUGAGUUUGAAUUAUUCAUGCUUUUAUUAAUAGAAUAAAUUUAGUGUUAAUUGUGAAUUUAUUUAAUUUUACAUUUAAUUUGUCGAAUACAAUUUGAUGGAUGUGAUUUAAUUCAAGUUUUAGAGUUGAUUUGAGGAAAGCUAAUUGCUAAUAUUAUAAGUUAAUUAUAUAUUUCCAUCAACUCUAAAACUCGAAUUAAACAAAAAAAAAUUCACACCAUUACCUUUGUGUACCAAAAUACAUAACUUUUUUCAAAUACAAAUAUUAAAUUUGACUAAAAAAUAAUACAGAUACCACAUUAAAAAUGGUGUGAAAUACAAAUACCAAAUUAUAUAUUAAAUCUUAAAGUAUUAGAUUUAGAAAAACAAAGUCGAGAAAAACCCUUAUUUUACAAAUAGAAGGUGAUGUAUUUAUAGUUAAAUCGUAUUUUGUUUCUUUUACUUAAAAAAUAUAAGUAAACUGAUCUAUAGGCAUUAGAUUAAAAAGUAAAUUGAAUUUUUUAUUAAAUAUUUCAUCUAUUUCUAUAGUUAAAAACUAACGUGAUUAAUAAAAUAAUCAACCGGUUACACUUGAUGCGCCACAUGUACUUCAUUCUGAUGUAUAUGAAUAAGUUUUUAAUAGUAAAAAUUAAUGAAUUUUUUAACAAAUAUACAAAUUUACUUUUUAAUCUAACGUAAAAGAGACUAAUUUAUAAUUUUUUUAACUUGAGAGACUAAAUAUAAUUUAAUUCCUAAGAUCAAAUUUCCAUUUAUUAUUAAUUCCAUCCUUAAACAAUUCUGAUUCAGGCGCUUAAGUCCUAAGUUUUUGAGAUAAAACUCUAAAAGGUCCAUCUCCAUAUUUUGAUCCUUAGAUCAACCCCACACUUAGCUCCAAAAACGUUAGCCACCGCCGGCGACUUUCCUUUCGGUACAAUCCCUUUAAUUCCAUCGCAAGUAACCCUAAUCCCCACUUUCUUGCUCUUCAAGCUACCCAUUUUCACCAUCACUCGGGUAUCCAUUUCAACUUUCAACAAGAACCCCUUUUUCUUCUUCAGCUCCGGUCUCAACCCAUUCAUCGUCUCGGCGUCUACGUCGCUCGACGUCGCCACCGCGACUCCCCUGAAAGUAGUCUCGCUUUUGCUGCCACUGAAGAAAGCCGGCAACGUUCCAUUGCCUAAAAACACGUCGCCGUCACUCGAUACGCACGAGACGGUGAAAGGGUCGUAAGAGAAAGAGAGGUAAGCGUUCGGGUUUUUGGAAGAAAUGGUUAAGUUGAAAAGGGUCGAGAGGUGGGAAGAGGCAGAGUCCGCGCUGGUUGUUAGGUUCAGGCGGUGGAUGCGGAAUGAAGCGAGGGUGAAAGAAGGGCGGUGAGGGCGGUAAAGUACGUAAAGGACGGUGCCGGUUAUGGCGGCUAAAAGAAUGAGUAUGAGUAUUAUGAGGAUGGUCCAGCAACAGUAGUUCAGCCGCGGACGGUAAGUUGGGCGUGACGUGGGGUUGUAAAGGUGGGUUUUUUUGGCGCCGCCGUUUGCUGGAGCUGUUGUGGAGGGUGGUGAUUCAUCGGUGCCGCCUUUGGCGGCAGCUGCGACGGUACUUUAUCUGACAUUGUGAAGAGGAAAGAGUGAGUGAAAAAAGGGAAGGGUGAAGGGUGGAAAUUUGUAUAGGAGAGAGUGAAUUUCAAAGAAAGGAAUUGAAGAGAAAGGAAAGGUACAGUUCACCCAAAGAAGAUGGUGCCACCUCACCAAAUCUUAAAAUAUUUUAGGAUAAAUUCUACUAAAGUUACUAAAUUAUUAGUAAAUUUAUACUUUAAUUACUUAAUUUUAUACAAAAUAGUUAUUAAAGUAUUCGAAGUUUUCAUUUAAGUCAUUAGACUGUUAAAAUUACUAUUGUAUGGCCUUUUUUGUUUGCACUAUCUAUAUUAAUCGAAAACUCUAUUUUCUCAUUUUUCCUAUAAUUUAAGUUUUUUUAAUAAAACAAUUUUAAAUGCCACAAAUCUAUGAAUUAAAAUUCAAAAACUUUCUUCUCUUAUUUCUGACAUUGAGUGUCAAAUCAAUCCCAAUUUAAUGUAUGUUCUUUUACGCGUUAAUAAUAUUAAUCUACCAUACCAAUUGUCGAAUCAAGUAGAGUUUGUUAGUCGGACCUUAAAAAAAUUUAACAAUUCAAUUUAAUAAUUAUUUUAAAUUUUUUAAAAUUAGAGUGAUUAAAACGUAAAUAUAUUAAUAAUUAAGUAAUUUUAGGAGUGGUUUACCCUUAUUUUUAAACACAUAAAGAAAUGCCCCCCCGCCCAAUAUGAGAUUAUAACCAUUUAUGGGACGUUGGAACUGGUCUUUCACAUGCUUCAUCAUUUUCUGCCAUCCCUUACCAAUUUUCUACUAUUAAUUAGGCAAUUCAUUUUCUGCAAAUUCUAAGUUAAUUCCAGGCUUCCAUCACUUAAUUUAACUAAAAUAAUACCUUGAGGCUAAUUAAAGCCUUUAAGCAAAGUAAGUGUUUGCAUGUGAGAAUUUCUAAAAAUUUUGGAGAGAUUAAUGUUAACUUUUCAAAAUUUUAGUGGUUAGUGAAGCUUACUUUGAAAACUUAAAAUUUGAUUUGAAUCUGAAUUCGAGUUUUCAAAAUUUGAAACGACAUCAGUUCAAAUUAAUCAAAUUCAAAAUCAAUUCAACCCAUUCAAUUGAAAUACACAGGGGAUAAAGAUAUUUUCAGUUUCUCUCAAUUUCGAUAUUGAACAAAUUGAUCAUUCUCAAUUUCGAAAGUAAGCGACUAAGGACAAUUAAUCAUGGCAUUAAUGUUUUUUUUGUCAAAUUUAUAUAUACUUGAUUGGUAUAAUAACAAAUUUAGUUCUCAUAAAUUACAUAUUCUAUUAAUUUGGUCAUGAUUAAUAAAUUUAGCCCGCAAUUUUUUUAAAUAUGUAAAGUUAAGGCUAAAUUUGUUUGCUUUUUUAGAAUCAAGACCAAAUUAACAAAAUAUGUAAACAUCAACAAUUAAAUUUGUUAUUACCAAUCAAAAUUAUGUACAAAUGACGAAAAUUAUUAAUACCGUAAUUAAUUACUCUUAAUUACUCACUUUUAUAGUUGUGAGAGAUUAAAUUAUUUCGAUUUAUUUGAGAGAGACUGACUUGCUUGAUUUCGAAAUUGAAAAAAAGAAGAAGAAGAAGCUUUUAAUUCAUUCUUGGGGCCAAUGCUUAUGAUAAGCUCUAACAAUGAGGUUAGGUUCCUGAAACCUGUCAAUUAUCAUGGAAAUGGAAAAGAAUUAAACCACUAAACGAAGUAUAUAUAUUGGGACCACUUUCUCAUUUUCAUGUAAAAAUGUCUGUCUGAUUGGUAAGUUAAUUUGCAGGGUUUCUGCAAAUCCCAGCUACCAAAAACUUACAAGGAGCUUGCUUCAACAAGGCCCUGCCUGCAAUUUUAAUUGAAGAAAAAAAAAUUUCUUCUAAAGGUAGUCAUUUUUAGAGAGGCAUUGAAGAUGAAAACCAAAAAGCUCUGUAAAAUUCAGUGGAUCAUGAUGGGGUUUCAUUGAAACGCAAAUAAAAUAUUGGGGUGUUGAUUGUAAUUGCAUUUUCGCCAUGAAAAUUAGAGCUUUCAGCUUCCUGUUUAUGAACAAUCCCCCUUCCCCCAGCAGCAGAAAACAGAUGGGAUCAUUAAAUAAUAUGAGUAAAUAACAUUGCAGGACUUAGGUGAAAAAAUCGAGAGCUAAAUUUGUUAUUAAUUUAAUUUAAAUUUUAUAUAACAAUUUUCAAAUUUUCACUUAUAACGACAAUAUUCGUAGUUAUGGAAUAAGCUCUUUAUUAAAUCAAUUCUCUAUGAUAAUAUAUCGUCUAAUUUUUAAAAUAAAAUUAUAGCUAUUUCAUAUAAGAAACCUAUUAAUUAUCAUUUAUUAAAAGAAAACGAUCUUAAUUAAAAUCUUAUAUAAAUAAAAUGGCUAAAUUUCACGUGGAGAAAUCUAGUAAUCAUAUUUUAUUAAAUGAAAAUAAUCUUCAAUGAGUAGAAUUAAAGAUAUGAUUUCAAUAAACUAUUAAGUUCCCAGAUUAAAGAUUUUAUUAUGAAUUUGAAACAUCGUAAACUUAUAAAUUGAUUACUUGAAUUUAGUUAAUUAAUUUGUUAAUUAAUUGAACUUGUUAGAUCUAUGAAUUUUAUAAUUAAUCACGUGAAAGAAUAUAAAAUAAAAUAUGCAUAAAAGUAAUAAUACAUGCAUUUAAUUUUAUUGAUUUGAUUAUCGCUUUCUUUAUUUUUUUUAACAUAAUUUUUACUUUUUUAUUUUGACGGAAAUUCAUGAUAUAAAUUCUAUUGUAAGCUUACAACGAUUAUCACAGCCAAAAUCUAAGCAUACAAAUGGGAUUAUUAUAGAGUUGAUUGAAAUAUAUUUUGUAUUUGAAAGUUUUGAUCUUCAAAAUAAAUAUUUAAAAAGUAACUGAAAAUCAUUUGAUUUGCUCAUGAUAGAGUGUUCUUAAUCCCUCUAUAUGAAUUUCCCUUUAUUCUCUCUAUAUAUGAAAUUUAUCUUGUAGUUUGUGAAAAAUAAAAAAAGUUGUUGAUUUUUUUUUCUAUUUUGUUAUUUAUAUAAAUUAUUAAGCUAUUAAACUUUGUAAUUGUUAUAUAUAAAUUGCUAAAUUAAUAGUCACCCAUUUAUGAAAAAUAUAAAAUGGACACCUAGUUAUUAGUAAAUUUAUUUUUUAAUCAUCUAACUAUGAAAAGUUACAAAAUAGUUACCCAACAGCUCAAUUGUCUUUUUGGUCACCAGCGAGCUUACGGUGAUAACUUUUAAAACUGACAUAAUAACAGUUUUAACCCUCAAAAUUUAUAAAUUAUGUCAAUUUAGUAAUGGUUCUAACAAAAAUUAACCACCAACAUUUAUACAUUGUGUAAUUUGAUCUUUUCUUAGUUUUUUGCAAUUUUGCUUUUCAUUAUGACAUUGAGGGUUAAUUUUAAAAGAAUGAGAAAAGAUGAAAAUUAUUAUCUUGAAAUUAUGGGUGUUUCUAUUUUUUUAUAUAUUUUCAAUUAAAUUUAACUAACAAUCUAUUUUUAAUUUUUUAGGUGAAAGAGUUAUGGAAAAAAAUAAAAUUAAAAGAAAAAUACACAAUAUGUAAAUGUUGAAAAUUAAAUUUUUUAGUGAAUGUAUACAUUUUCUAAUUCUUACAUAUAAAUAGCUAAAAUACCAAUUUUUAAAUAAACCAUUUAAUAAUAUUUAAUAGUGUUAUUUCAAUUGAUUUUUUAAUGUUAGUAAAAUAUUAACAAAUUAAAAAAUUAUUUUUUGCAAAGCAAGUUAUGAAAUUAUGCUAAAGACAAAAACAUUAGUCAGUUACUUAAAAUAAGAGGGGUAAUAUCGUAAAAUUAAACAUUUGAGUUCCUCGAGGCAAUCUCUGUCUUUUACCCAACACCAAACAGCCCUUUUGCCUGAAGUUGAUUCCUUUAAAUAAUGACAAAACUCUUCGGUUUUGUUUAGUUUUUUCAUUUUUAAAUUAUUAAUAAAUAAAAUUAUUUUUAUUAUGGGUAAAACUGCACUAUAUGUUACUAAACUAUUAAUAAAUUUAUAUUUUAGUUAUUCAACUUUAAAAAAUUAUAGAAUGAUCAUUGAACUAUUCAAAUGUUUUCAUUUAAAUCACUAGGCUGUUAAAAUUGCUAUUGUAUGGCUUUCUCUAUUCGCACUGUUUGCAACAAUUGAAAGCUCUCAUUUCUCUUUUCUUCUACAGUCCAUUUUUUUUAUGAAUCGAAUUUGGAUAUCAUUCGAAUUUAUGAGCCAGAAUUUGAACAGCUUUUUUCCUCGAUCUCCAACAUUAAUCAUAAGAUGGGCUAAGAUUUAAUGUAUGUUAUUCUACUAUUGGGUACUGAUCUACCGUACUGAUAGUCAAAUCGUUGAGCUUGUUAGCCAGACUUUUAAGAAAAAAACUUAACAGACUAGUGAAUUAAAUAAAAACUUUCAAAUAAUUCAAUAACUAUUUUGUAACUUUUUGAAGUUAAGUAAACACAAUGUAAUAGUUUAGUGACCUAGGUGAAAUUUACCCUUUAUUAUUUAUACCUCCAAUUUAAAUAAAAAAAUAGUAUAUCUUUUAAUUCUACCGUACUAAAUAAUUGUUUUUUUAUAUAAUUUAUUUAUUUCAAAUAAAAUCUUCCUUUUUCUUCCACUGCUUCCAAAAAACUGACUACUUUGACAAAUCUUUUGUCUUUAUUUUCGUCACUCCCAUUUUGCCCCUUGAACGCCACGUCACUUUUCUUACACCAACCAUCCUACGUGGCAUCACCACUCCCUUUUGCCAACGUGUCACCCUUCCCUCCCUCUUUAUAACGCGCGUUACUCUCUAUAUCAUCUUCAACUCUCAAACAAAACCAAAAAAAAAAAAAAGAGAGAAGAAAAGUUAAUGUUAAUGCUAGGAUCGCCGGAGUAUGGAUUUUCAGGCGAAGCUGCCGGUAAGUUAAACGUCCUGUUGACAGAGUCCGACGACGAAAGCGAGUUUUCAAACGACGAAGGGAAACUAGAAGAGAUAAUGCAAGAGCUUUACAAAGAGAUAACAGCAACAACGACAAGCUCUUCUCCCAACACUUCACCGCCGAUGGUAACUUUGCCGUCGCCGUCAUCUUCAUCUUCAUCAUCUUCUCCGCCGCUUUAUUUGUCUCCACCGCCGUUCUCCGUCAGCGACGUCAAGAGCGAGAGCUGUGGGGCUUCCAUGUCUGACUCAUCCUCCACCGUGAUGGCCGGUAUCGAGUUCGUCGUACACGCCGGGAAGUUACCCGAAAAAGAGAUAGGGGUAACGGAGAUGGGUUUCGACGAUGAUAAUAACACCACCACCACCAUCAACAACAACAACAACAACAGUGGUGAUUUCGUAGCAAGGGAAGAGGAAAUGGACGGUUGUGAUGAAGGGGAGUUGGGAAAUGAUCAAUGGCUGACAAUAAUUUUAGGGUGGGGUCCACUGGAACUGGAGGACUGGAUCUGAGCUGAUGUGUUUUUUGAUGAUGAUCUUUUUUGAGUACCCAUCAAUGGAGUUUGGCCGUACAGAGAGAGAUAGGUUCCCUUAUAGUGUAGGGAUAGUGUGUCCUAAAGUAGGGUUAGUUCAGAAAACCAGGAUAUAAAGCACUGUGUCAUUGUUCUUUUGUUUUUGCCCUUUCUUUUUUCUUUUGUGUAAUGGGGGUUUUCCAUCUCUCUUUAUGAAAAUGCUUUGGAAAUCAACCCUGGGAAACUAAUCCAAAAAUUUUAAAAAAAUUACAUAUAAAUAUUUUGGUUUAUUUAUGGUUUUAGUCCUUCGAUAUCCAAUAGUUACAUUAGACUCAGAAUUCUUAAAGGAGGAAAAAGUUCCCAACGUUGUUCUUUUCUGAACGCAAGAUUUGAACGCUAAAGUCUAAACCUAGCUGAAAGGGCAUUAAGUUCUUUAUUAUUAUGGUUUUAGUCCUCAAUAUUUAGUAGUGACAUUAGGAUUGAAUUUCUAACCCAAGAUAAAAGUUCUUUUAACCUUGUCAUUAUGGUUUUAGUCCCUCGGUAUUUGGUAGUUACAUUGGGCUCGAAUUUCUAUUGAGCUCCUUGUCAUUAUGGUUUUAGUCCCUCGAUAUCUGGUAGUUACAUUGGGCUCGAAUUCCUAAACGGGGAUAAUGUUUUCUCAACAUUAUUUUUUAUAUUCAUAAGACUUGAACUCUAAACUUUGUUUAAGGAGCAUUGAGCUCUUUAUCAUUACGGUUUUAGCCCUUGCUUGAUAUUUGGUAGUUACAUUGUGCUCGAAUUCCUAAAUGAGGGCAAAGUUCCCCUGACGUUCUUUUUUUCGACUUAACAUAUGUUAGUGAUUUUAGUAAUUUUACUUUUAUAAUUUGGACUUUUAAUUUUAUAAUAUUGUUAAUAAAUCCAAAUAAUUAACUUUAAACCCUAAAUAGUCUUUCUAACUUAUUGUGCUAACAAAAUGAAUGUGUUUUAAGAAAAAAAUGUUGUCAUUUUAAUCAACAUAGUUAACAGUAUUAACUAUUUAGAUAAACUGAUGAUAUUAUAAAAGAAAAGGAAUCAAAAUUGUGGUAAAUUAAAUAGAGGGAUUAAAUUUUAAUUUGAGUAUAAUUGAGGGAUUAAAAUCAAACUUUGACCUAAUAUUUUACAUGAAUUCUAGCCAUCCCAUUGCUUCACCUUGGAUUUGGAGUUUAUGUUAUGCCAACUCAAAUCCAAGUAAAUGUUGGAUUUCCAAAACUUAAUCAAUGAUAUAAGCAAGAAAUACAUAAUUUUGUGCUUAAUUUGGUACCCAAUUAACUUUGUUUGGAAGCACUAUUAUUGGCUAAUAGUGUUAGGGCUCACAAUGCAAGGAAACGGUCCAUUUGAUGGUGAGCUUCAAGGAUGUAUUAUCUCAUGGGCAAUCAAUUAAAUUUAUUAAAUACUAUUAAAUUCAAAUAUACAUACGAUCAGACCGAAAUUAAAAAAUUACUUUAGAGAUAAAAAUGAAUUAUAAAUUUUAAAAAUAAUUCAUCAUUAUAUUAAUUUAUAUUUAACAAAUUUCCAAACAACUAAAAGAUUUAUCAUUUUGAAGACCAAGUCCCCUGCGGCUCUAGCUACUUUCUUGCCUAUGCCCCUACAUAUUGAGGCCAGGAAAGAAAUCCGUCUCGUGCUAUCUCAUUACCGUUCCGAAGUGGGCAGUUGGGGAUGAUUAAGGGUGGGUUUGAACGGGCGGUGCGUUUAAUUGCGAUUAGUGUAGAAACAGCGGUGGCGGUGAGACAGAAAAUAAGCUAAACACACUAUACCGCACCCAAUCGCCCAUCCAAACCCAUCCUAAGUUAACAAAUUGAUCAUGGCUAAUAAACUUAUUUGUAAAGUUGAGGGCCAAAGACCUUGAGAAAGAGUUCUGAUGUAAGUUGGGAUAUUAGGGGAGUCUUCUUCAUAUAAUGUUCUUUUUACUGAGUUUAAAAGCAACUAAAGAAUAUGGUAAACAAUAGACUAGUCAUCACUUUUGGUAAAAUGUAUUUUCAUCCUUUCUCAUAUAAUGUAUCUUGAGCAGCUUACAAAUGUAUUAUAAGUUCUAUCAAAUCAAAUAUUGCAAAAUGUUGCGAUUUAAACUUUGAACUAUAUUUAUUUUCUCACUUUGGUAUCUAAAUUUUUUAUGCAUUAAAACUAUUAUUUUUCAUCUCAAUUUACCGUGAGAAGGAAUAUGACAUAUGACAUAUUCUCAUUGGACAUUGGUAAAUUGAGGCAAAAAUGAUAGUUUGGGUACCAGAAUGAAAAUAUAUAUAUAUAGUUCAAAGAUCAAAUUGUGAUAUAACCCUAAUUUUUUUUGUAUAUAGUAAAAUAUAUUGGACAUUUUAAUUUGAGUCCCUCCGCCAUGCUUAAAUUUAGGAUUUAAUGUAUGCGAUUGACUAAGAGUUGAAGAUUGUUGGCAGAAUAAUUUUAUAGACUAGCUAAUGUGAGUAUAAGAAAAAGAAGAAGCUAAAUAUAUCAAAGUAGAAGAUGAAGUAAUUAAGCAUUGUGUGAAAGCAAUAUUGGUAAGUUUGAGCAAUGAAGGCAAUUCUGGUUAUGGCAAAAACUUGUUAAAUGUUGUGGACAUGUUAGGUUUAAUUAGCCAAAAUUGGUGGCUAUAAACGAAAGGACCAAAUCAUUUCAAACACAACGAAACAUCAACUUUCGGCAACAAAAGAAGAUUGAACAAAGAGAAAAUCAACAAACAACAAAAAGAAAAAAGAGUUGCUCAAUCUUCAUUUCUCACCAAAAAGGUAGAUGAUAGACAUGACAACCCAACCUACAAUAAAUUAAUAUUCGUACCAUUGUUAUAGCGUGAAAUAUAUGCAUAACUCGAGUAAACUAUACCCAAAAUCACUAAUUUAUUAGCGAGUUUAUGUUCUGGUUGUUUAACUUUAAAAAGUUAUAAAAUGAUCAUUGCAUUAUUCAAAACUUUUCAUUUAAACCAUUGGAUUGUUAAAAACGUUUUGUAUGUAGGGGUGUAUUCGGUUUUUAACUUUUGAAACCGAUAAUUGCGAUUCGGUUCAGCGGUAAUAUUGCAUUUCUAGAUUUUUUUCACAACAAUCAUAAUACAUGCUCUAGCUUCAUUUAUAAAUUUAUAAUGUGAAUUAAAUAGUUAAAUUAAUACCAUAAUCAUCCAUAAGAUCAUUUAAAAAAUCACUUUAUGUUAAGUUAUUAAGUUGAUAAAUCAUUUAGGUAGCGUUUGGGAACGGAAAUUUUGAUUUUGAUUUCAAAAUUUUAACUUUGAAAUUUAUGAUUUAUAAAUUUAUUAUUUCCAUAUUAUUUGUUUGGAAAUUAAAAUAUUUGAAAUUUAAGAUUUUGAAUUAAUCCAAAUUCAUUGUUUGGAUAAAUCAGAUUUCGAUUUGGAUUUCAACUAAUUUUAAGUCUUAAAAACAUUUUUUUUUAAAUUUAAUCAUUUGGAAUGAUUUUUUUUAACAUUGUUGUUCGAACCAAACUAGACUAGUCGGUUGGACCGGGAAUCAGCUAAGGUACUGGUUUGGAGAAAGGCAUUAGAUCAAUUGACAUGGGAAUCAAAAUGGACUGGUUGAUUAGGCGGUUGAAGUACCAUUUAUUUUAAUUUUAUUAAUUUUUAUGAAUUUUUAAUAUUUUUUAAUAGAACUGAAUGAACUGGUCGAACCAAUUGUACUAGUCAAACCAAUUGAACUUGUUGAAUUAUUCAAACCGAUUGGACCAACAAACCAAAAGCCUAAUCAGUUUGAGCACCAAUUCAAUUUUGAAAACUGGACCAAACUAGCUAGUUAGGCCGAUUGCACUGGGUAUAAGUGGACUUACUUAGGUAUGACUUAAAAGUCAAGGGUUUAAAAUUAAAAUUGUGGAAAUUAUGGUAUAAAUGAAAAUUUUAAAUAUUUAUACUAUAUUAAAUUAAAUGCAUGAAGCUUCAGUAUUGUUUUCAGAACCGGACUGGACCGACCUGUCAGAUUAAUUGGAUCAAGAAUUGGUCAGGUUACUAGUUGGGAAUAAGGAAUCAGAUUGGUUGACUCGUGAAUCGGUCGAACUGACGAUCGGAUUGGUUGAAUCGAUUUUAUAUACUUUAAAUAUUUUUAAUAAUUUAUUCAAUCAAACCGAUUAGAUUGAUCGAAUCGAGAACCAGUGGUCUGAUCUGUUUGCCUAUUGAUCAAAUUCUAAAAACCUUGAGUUUCGUUGAUGACAUAUUAUAAGUAAGAUUAAUUAACUAUUGUUUGGGUUUUGAAGGAAGUAUGAAAUAAGAGAGAACAAAAAAGUUCUCAAGUUAUUUUAAACAAUCUUGGAUUUUGAAAAUUCCAAGUUUUAAAAUGGAUUUUGUAAUCCAAAAUUUAACUCUCAUGAAAUUGGACUUGGAUUUAUCCAAUUUUUUAUUUGUUAUCCAAUUUCAUAAGAGUUAAAUUUUGGAUUUAACAACUAUUGUUUGAGAUAGGAUUGAAACUUCAAAAAUUCGAAAAGCAUGAGAACUAAAAAUGAUAAAAUUGGGAAAUAGGGACUAAAUCCAUGGUUUAUGAAAUCAAUAGUAGAAUUUGAUCUAACAAAUUUAAUUUCUACCGUUUGGUUCAAGGUUAAAAUUUCAAAAUUUGAAAAGUACAAUAACUAACAUCGAUUAAAUUAGACCAAAUUUAUAACUUUGACAUAAUGCAAGGACUAAUAGUAGAAUUUGACCGAAAAUAUGUCCAGUAUGAGCAUUUGAAAAAAGAUAAAUUCACCAAAUUGAGGACUUUUUGGUCCACCAUAAGAUGGGCUCGAUAGAUAUAUUCCAUUUUUAUUUGUCCAACCCCCAUCUUGGAUUGGACCUCGAGUCAAACCCAACGAAUAACCCAAUGGACUUUGAAGCCCAGGUUGCUAUGCAUAUAUAUGGGUUCAUCCAACCUAUUUUUAGGAAAUAAUAUAUCCAAAUAUAUAUAUAUAAAAUGUUAUUUUUUUGUGUAAUUAAAAUAUGUUUUAUGUCUAUUUUAUGUAAAAAAUCAGUUGGUAUUAAUUUGGAUAAGGACGGCUUGAAUUUUGAGACAGUGGACUACUCUCAUCCGAUUAAACACAUGUUUUUGGCAUGUAUGGACAAGCACACUUUUUUUCUUUUCCCUCCAAAUGUAAAAAGUGUAAAGUUUCAUGUGCUUAAUAAUGUUUAAUAAUGUCAGACAUGUAAUGAUUGCAAGAUGUAAUAAAUUUUGUUAAGGGGUGCUCAGUUUUUUUUUUAUUUUUUUGAAAAUUUCUUUGAAAUAUCAGUUGUUAAAAAUCGGUGGAAUUCUUAAUAGUUCAAUAUUGCCUCAGGUUUAGUUGGAGUUUUAUCUCUUUAACUCUACGGAGAAUUUGAGUGCUUGAAGAGACUGCAUGAGACCCAAGUUCAUAAAGUAAGAGCGCCUCGUCAAAAAGAUCCCUGCGUGGUGUACCAUCACCUACCAAAGGAAACGGUGAUCAUUUACCUAUGGUAGGGUUUGAUGCUUGAACCCAAACUAUAGGCUAUAAGUUACUAGAGGAGAGGCAUGCUCGCGCUUUAUAAACCUAUGCCCCAAGUGGUUUCUUCAGGCACUUGGACUUUUCACGAAAUCGAGAGACAAACCUCAACUCGAACUGUGAAAAUUGUGUAAAAAACACACACACUAAUAAAUAAGGUCCAAAUGUUGUAGGUCCUUGUACUAUGAUAAAAAUUGAAAUUUAGUCAUUGAACUUAAAAUUUUAAAAACUAAUUCCUUCUACUUUUUUCGAUUUAAAAAUUUUUAGUCCUCUCAUUAUUAUUGUUUUCAUCAUUUUUUUUAAAAAUUUGCUAACUUAGGAUGUCGAUGAAGUUGUCCGCAUAUGAUGUGGCAUAUGAUUAACAAAUUUUGACAUGAGCUGCUAAUGAUGUUAAUGAUUAGACUGAGAUUUUUAAAACCGAAAAGAAAUGAAAGAUUUUUUUAAAUUUUUCUUAACUUUUAAUGUAUAAGAACUAAAUCUUAAAUUCUGUAAAAAUUAGGGACUAAAAACGGAAUUUAACCUAUAUAUAUAUCUUAGAGGAUAUGUCGUCGAGAAAGUUUGACCGACGAGCGCAGCCAUUGCCGUUUUCAGAUUCAAUGGCACAUAAAAGAAUUUCACAUAAUUUUCUUUAAAAGAAAAAGUUAUAAAAACGACAGCAAAUCAUAUAUUAUUUUAUUUAUAUUUAAAUAUAUAUAUGUGUGAAAUAUAAAUUACGAUUUUUUCUUUUAAAAAAAAUUAUAUAUUAUUGUUGAAAGCAUGAUUUUUUUUAUGUAAAGGUGUUACAUCCUACUAAAUCGCUGCGAUUGAGGAAUAAAUUUAAGGAAUCCUUCAAAAGAAUCUCUCAGGAUCACCUUCCGAAAGUAUCCUACGAUUCAACAAUUAAAGGGGCCCUAAUUAUUAAUCGUUAUACUUGACUCCAACCAUCAAUCUUAUUUGAGAUGAUUGAAAAUACAUUCAAUUGACACUUUAUAGUGAUAAACCACUUGACCACUUAUCUUCGACUCACCUAUGAGAAUUUUAGGUAUAGCACGUUGAGACAAAGCUGUUACAGAAAAUGGAUCCUCUCUCCCUCUUCUCUCACUUUCUGUCACUCCAAUUUCGAUAUCCCUUCAUCCUCGACUACCCUAUCUAAUGAUCCUCUGCCUGGUAUUAAACAAAAUAAACCAUACAUCUCCACCAUCAUCUCAGCCUUGUUGGAUUAUCCCAUUAAAAAAUGUCAAUAGUUAAUACACAAAAGAAGUUUUGGUGGUUCAGUACGUUCAUCCAGUGAAGACUAAGGACUGGUGGAGAUCCGUAGGAAGGAUGAAGGCAUUAAGCUCUGAGAUCAGAGGCCAUUGAGUGUUGGCCGAAAAGUGCUUGAUACACUAGCUUAUAGAUGACGGCUCUUUUAAUCUAAAUAUGCCAUACGUUGAACUAUGAUUGAGGCUUAAAUACACUGGUAAGUCGUAGCAACUGGCGUAAGCACAGUGACGCUACAACAUGUUCGAGACUCCUUGGAUUGGGCUUGCACAAUCUGUAUGCGGGUUUUUAAGAACAAAGUUUUAACUGUCAAACCAUAAAAUAAUAAUAAUAAAUGCAAAAUUAAAGAACCCACAUUGAAAGUAAAGGAUGGAGAGGUGAGGGGUCCCACCUGGUAUUGAAAAUUCCAGAAAUGGUUUCAGGUUCAUGCACCUUCCAAUUCCAAAACAAGCAAAUGUAGUAUUUCAAUUAUAUAAAUUAUUCAUUUUUUAUUGAUUCCCAAUUUUAAAUUUAUUUUUUGUCACAAUAUAUAAAUCACUUUUUGCCUUUGCUUCUUCAACAUGAACAUCACCAACAACAACUUAAGAAAAAAAACUUUUCUUCUUCCUUCAUCAUUUUAAAGAUCUUUACUUUAUGGCAGGUUAGUGAAACUAAAAGCUUUUCACCAUUGGUUCAAAAUUUUCAUUUUUCCCUCUUUGUUGAAUAUGAAUUACAUGGACUUAAAGAUCUUGUUUUUAUUUAAUGUGUUGUGAUAUUUUUUUAUGGGUUUUGCUUGUUUUGAUUGAAUAUGCAUUACUUGGACUUAAAGAUCUUGUUUUUAUUUGUUGUAUGAUGAUAUCUUUUCUGGGUUUUGCUUGUUUGAAUUGAAUACUGUUAGGUAGAGAAAAAAGAUUUGUUUUUGCAAAUUUCCUAAUAAAAAUUGUAACUUUUAGUGUUUAAUUUGAUUUAAAAACAAGAUCUGUUAAGUUGAUUAUCUGUUUGAUAUUUGCCUCCUUUUUGCCCUUUCGUGAUUCGACUCGAUUUUGAAUUUAUUUGGCUCCAAUGUGAUUACUGGGUACCGAAAGGGGUCUAAAAUUUACCAAUUGAAUGAAUCUUUAUUUAGGCUAUAGCAUUUUUUGGGGAUCUUGUGUAUUUAUUCUUAGAUUCUAUGUCACUUUAGUGUCGGACUCGGGUGUAUUUGAUUCCUUUUUUUUUUUUUUUGUAGAAUGUAAAUCUAUCAUUUUUGUGACUGCAUGAUUGCUUUAUGAAAUGGUGAUAGUUCACCACCAAGAACUACAUAGAUCCGACCCCUGUGUUCCAAUAAUGGAUCGCAAACAAGGUUACGAUAUUGAACUUACGAGUUCUACUUCUAAAGUUGAGCAUGAAUUAUGGCCGUUGGAUGGAAUUGAUUCGAAGAAUUCCAAGUUUCCCUGUUGUCUAGUUUGGACACCACUCCCUGUUGUUUCAUGGUUAGCACCUUUCAUAGGACACGUAGGGAUUUGCCGGGAGGAUGGAGCGGUUCUUGACUUUUCGGUGUCGAAUUUUGUCACUGUUGAUGGUUUUGCUUUUGGUGCUGCAGCUCGAUAUGUUCAACUCGACAGAGAAAAGGUACAUUCCUUCAUGCACAGGAGAGCAUAGUUACUAGAUUGUUCAUGGGUCAGGCGACUCGCCCAAGUUUAAAGGUUCGUCCAAAAUUUGUUUUGGGCAAAACCAUUAGGUUAAAAAAUGGGCUUUGGAUAAAAAAAGCCUCGUUUAAAAUAUGGAUCGGGUUCAAGCUUCAACAUUCAAUCUUUGACCCGGUUUGACCCAUAAAUACCUCUAGUUAUAACCCUUUUUGUAUGUGAGUUGGUUUUUCUCAUUAACUACUUUGUCUUGUUGGAUAUAGUGUUGCUUUUCUCCAUAAAUACCUCUAGUUAUAACCCUUUUCAUAUGUGAGUCGGCAUUAACUGCUUUGUCUUGUUGAAUAUAGUGUUGCUUUCCUCCCAACAUGUCCGGGCAUACGUGCAAGCGAGGUUACCAACAUUCCGAGUACGGGACUGCAAUCACAUGGGAUGAUGCGUUACGGUCGAGCGCACGUAACUUUGAGCACAAGAGCUACAACCUCUUCACGUGCAACUCUCACUCGUUCGUAGCCAAUUGUCUCAACCGACUUUGCUACGACGGAUCGAUGGAUUGGAACAUGAUAACCGUGGUGGCUUUAGUAAUUAUCAAGGGUCAUUGGGUCAAUAACAUGUCGAUAAUAAGAUCAUUCCUCCCUUCCACGGUGGUGCUUUGCCUCGGGUUAGUAUCGGUCGGCUGGCCCUUUUUGGUUGGAUUGUUCUCAUUCUCUAUACUUCUACUGGGGUGGUUUCUAUUGGGAACUUAUUGUUUCAAAACGUUAUUGGAAAGAUAGAGGUGUUGUUUUCAUUGAAGUUGAAAAUCUUUUUUGUUGGUUGAAAGUUGCAUACCAUAUUUGUUAAUGGUUAUUUUUUAUUUUCAUUUUACCCUUAUAAUUGCAUUCAAAUCUAAACACAUAAUUUCACCCUUCAUUCAAAUGGAACUACGAUCAAUCCUAUGGAUGGAUGGGGUUUGUGCUCCGAUAUUCUAGAUAUAUUGGUAGUGUUUUAUUUUUUUACAAGAUAUUUAUCAAUUCUCUCAUCUAUUUCUCGAAUUUAAAGGCUCCAUUGGUAAUGUGCUAAAUAUUUAUUUUUAUUUUUAUCUAAUAUGUCAUAUAUAUAAGUAAAAUUACUAUGUAAGACUUUGUACCAUAAGUCAGAUUGCAUUUUGCCUCUUUUAAUUUAAAAAAUGAGUAAAUUAAUCUUUGUAUAUUAUAUCAAAGAAUAAAAUGGUCUUUUCUGUUAAAAAAUUCAUCCAUUUGUAUUGUUAAAAACUAACUUGGCUGACGAAAUAACAAAAUGACAAGUUGUGUACCAUAUGUACCUCACGUUGAUGUACAAGACUCAAUUUUUAACCGUACAAAUGAAUGAAAUUUUUAACAGAAAAAUUUAUUUGCACUUUGAUCUAACGUAUAGGGACUAAUUUGUAUAUUUUUUUUGUGUAGAGGGACAAAAUGUAUUUUGGACUCUUAGUAUGGGGACCUCCAUGGUACUUUUAUUGUAAUUUAUAUUAUAUGAAAAUUUAAUAUAUUAAUAUUUAAAAAUUAUAUUAAUAAAUUAUGUUUUAAAAAAUUAUAUCAAAUUAUUAUUUAUUUGUUGUGGGGAGGCUGAGGAGUAUUGACUUUGUGAAAUGUCUGAGUGCUUGAAAAUUGAAAUAACGAAUUUAACGAAAACAAACGGUGCGUACACAUGGGCACCUCUAGGGCGGGGCAGUUGGUGAGGUGGGCGGGGGAAUCCAGCAAACUGCAAAGGGAAGUUAAAGAGCACGUGGGGGGUAAAGUUUGUUAGAGAUGUCACAUGAUAUCCACGAAUCUCCCAAUUUUUAAUUUGCCUUUUCAACAGUGGAAGACAACACCACCCCAUCCCUUACAUGUUCUUGUCAUUUAACUGGUACUACUAAAUCACAAACUUCAUGAAUUAUUACACAAUAUAUAUAUAUAUAUAUAGAUGUUUCAAGAACAGUCUCACCUUGUGUUUUGUGUUUCUUUUUUAGGGCAAUGAGCUUUGCUUUUGUUGUUCUUGGUUAAUGGGGAUUGACGAGUAAGUAAUUAUUUUUGGUUUAUUUCUGUUUUUAGUCCCUAUGCUAUGCUUACUUUUAAUUUUGGAUAAUUUUAUUUUCUUACUUUGACACUGUUUACUUUUAGAUGUUAAUCGACUGUCAACUGUUGUUUUAAAGUAAAUUUCAAGUUACCACUUAUUUUUAAAAGUUUACUACUAAGAAUUGGAACAACCUAGAUUAAAGUUGAUUAACCUAAGUAAAACCUGCACAUUGCUAUACACGAACUCAGGCAUUAAAGACUCAGUACGGUGCAGGAGGAGGUAAGGGGUUAUGGCCCCAUAAAAUAAAAUAGUAAAAUUAUAUUUUAACCUUUUAAAUUUUAUAAUUAUAGAAAUAUGUUUUACUUUUAAAAAUUGAUAAACUUUAGGUUAAUCCUUUAAAAAUAUAAGUUAAUAGAGUAGUGAAAUUGAGUACUAACCAUACAAAGUCUUUAUUGGCAAUUUUAAGUUAUCGCUUUGAUGUUAUCAUUUCAGACUUACUUAUAACAUUAGAGAUUAAAUUACAGCUUUAAAAAUGAUAGAAGAAUUAGACAUAAUUGAUAUUUUUGUUGGUUUUAGAAACCCAAUUAAUUUAGAUGAUAAUUAACAAGUAACAAUCAUUAUUAGUUUAAAGAUAAGACAACAUCACUUAUUGGGUUAUUGCACACAAAUUGAGUUAUGGUGGUUGGCAGAUACAAAAGUAAUUUUGCCAUGAUUUCAUAUCAACCCAAAACUUCAAUGCUGUCAAACAAAGAUUGGAUCUUUUACCAAUAAAGAGUAACUAAGAUAAUAAAAUGACAUUAACCCAGGUAAGAUUUCACCAUUGGGUUAUGAGAUUUGAGAUUAAACUAUGCAUACAACUUGUUAAAAAAUUAUAUAUAUUGUCAUCUUGCCAAAAGGGAAAAUCCCAACACAAAUGAUGGAAUCUCAAGUAAAGCUAGAAGACAAAGUCCUUUCCCAAUAUAGCCAUUCUAAUUUUCUAACCAUGAAAUCUCUUACAUAACUUAGAAGUGAGCAUAUUAUUAUUAUUAUUAUUAUUAUUAUUAUUAUGAAAUCACAAAAACACAAACUACUCACUUGUUGGUUCAAAAGCCCCCAAAGGGCAUAUAUGUCCAUAAAAAACAAUGUAUAUAUAUGUCAAAGUAUUUUUUUAUCGAUUUGGUCUGCUUAAAUUUAAAAUUUGGUCCCUAUAUUUUAAUUUGACAUGAUUUAUUCUUUUAGCUAUAAUAUCAUUCGUUAGUCUAAGUAUUUAAGAUAAAAUACUUAUGUAACUCCUUCCUACAAGGAAAAAAGAUGUUAAAAUAUAAUUCAAGUCCUUAUAGUUUUAGUAUGCUUUUAGAAUUAAGAAUUAUACUUUUAUUUUUAAAAUUUUAGUGUCUUUACUUUUUAAAUUUAAAAAUUUAGGUCAAAUUGAUAAUAUUGUUCAAAUUCUUUUAUUAAAUUCGUUGUAUAUUUAUUUGGUAGCUAUGUAAUAAAAAAAAUGAUGUUCUGAUCGACUUGAAUUCAACAAAAAAAAAUUGUAAUGAUGGUAUUCACUUGUAUUUUUCAAAAUCUAGAAAGCAGACGAGUAAAUUCAUAAAAGUAAGAUAUUGAAUUACAAAUAUAUAAAGAAUACAUGAACAUAUAAUAACAAGGAAAAAGUCAUGGAGGAAGUGUUCUUAAGAAAAAAAUCCACAUUAGCGAUUUAAUCAAAAUUGAUAAGGUGACUAAUGAUGUUAUAAAAGUAGAGAUGUUAAACUAUAGGGACUAAAACUCUAAUUUAAGCAUAAUAAAAGGACCAAAAUUAUAAUUUGACCCAUAUAUAUAUGUAUAUAAAAGCCAUUUAACCCAUUCUCGUAAGCUUUGUCAUUUAGUCUCUUUUCCUUCUAUAUGAACUCAAAAGCCUCCUUUUUUUUUUCUUCAUCGUCAACAACAGGCAUGGACUCAGCGGAGCCACCCCCUCAUGGCCUAACCAAAGAAGAAUACACCGAGCUUAAGCCAUUGAUCCAAACAUACCACAAAUUCGAGCCAAUACCCAACACAUGCACGUCCCUCAUAACCCAACGCAUCGACGCUCCGGUCCGAGCCGUAUGGCCAUUCAUUCGUAGCUUCGAAGCACCUCAAAAAUACAAGCACUUCAUAAAAAGCUGCAACAUGAGCAGCGGCGACGGCGGUGUAGGAAGCGUUAGGGAAGUCACCGUCGUUUCGGGUCUACCGGCGUCGAAGAGUACGGAGAGGUUGGAGAUGUUGGAUGAUGAGAAGCAUAUAUUGAGUUUUAGGGUCGUCGGUGGUGAACAUAGGUUGAGGAACUACCGGUCGGUGACGUCGGUGAGUGAGUUUAAAGAGGAAGGUAAGGUUUAUACAGUUGUUUUGGAAUCUUAUAUCGUUGAUAUACCGGAAGGGAAUAGUGGAGAAGAUACGAAGAUGUUUGUGGACACGGUGGUGAAGUUGAACCUACAAAAGCUUGGGGUUAUUGCAAUAGCCGCCGGUUCAGUUCAUGGACAUGAUUGAAUAUUAUUAUUAAGGGGUGGUUUUUGAGAAGAUGAUGAUGUUGGGUUUUUUAUUGAUGGGAUGGUAAAACUAUGUAAUAGAAGUUUGAUUUUACUUCUUUUUAUUUUUUUACUAAAUCCAUCUUUUUCUUUUAAAUUUUAUCUUUUCCUAUGUUAAAGUUUGGUCUUUAUAUGUCAAAAUAAGGUAUAUGUGAUAUAUCACAUGUAACUGUUUGAGUAUUCUAUUAGUCACAUAACUUUUUAACAGUAAAAUAAAUGAGAUUUUAAUUGAAAUAACUUCUUUAUUUUUUGAUCCAAUGUAUAAGAAUUUAUUUAUUUAUUUUUUAGGUAAAGAAAACAAAAUAUAAUCUAACUUCUAAUAUAUUAAUUUCUAUGAUAUUUGGAUGUUCGAGGUUUGAAAAUAUUAUUAUAUAUCUUUAGGUUUUAUUCUGAGUGAUUGAAUAUUUAAACGUUUCAUAUUUUUUAUUUUGGAAAUUGCAAGUUAUGGAUAGGUUAGAUUUUGUAUUAAAUAUUUAUCCGUAAUUAGUAUGUAUAUAUAUAAAGGGUUAUAUUAUAGUAAUAAAAAAUUAGCUUGGGAUGGGAAGUGGUGAAUUGUAUUUUUUAAUUAAUAUUGAAUGUUUCAUGAAUAAAAAAUAUAAAAAAUCAAAGCUUAUUUGAAAAAAAAAGAGUACGACCUUAUAAGUUUAAUCUCUUAACUUGAUUAGCAUUAGUAUUAUUGUUGGUGCGCAGGAUAUAGGUUCGAGUGCGUUGAAAUGCAUUACCCUCCUAUUCAAUGGUUGGGAAAGAGUUACGAGUGGUUCUAGGCAUUGUAUCAAGAUUCUAACUUAUAUUAAUUAAUGUUGAGAUAAAAAAGAGAAAUAAAUUAUAAAUUUUUGGGUGCUAAAAUAAGUUACUAUUUUUGUAAGGUUUCGAGAAGAAAAAAGGUUUUUCAUAACAAUCGAACGGUCAUAUUUCAUAUUAUAUUUAUAGAGAUCAUGCAUGUUAAAUUGGAUACAUUUAUUUUACAUAAAAAAUUGUCAACCAUUCAAUAAAUACUAAUAUAUACACAAUCGAUAUGAUAGAAAUAUUUGAUCGGUUCAAAAAUUUAUAUACAUGACAAAUACAAUUAUAUCGAUAAAUUCAACCGUUAAAUAUUAAUCAUACAUAAAAAAACCUAAUUUCAUAAUAGUGUAAGGGAAUCCUCCCAUAUAUUUCCAUAUAUACUUGGAAUUCACGAGAAUUGGAUGUAUAUAUAGUGCAAUUUAUGAGUGAUGGUUUAAGUUGGUGAAAACAUGGUGUGGAUUUGAAAGUCAACCCAAAAUUCAACAUCAAGAGGCAUGAAAAGAUGAAAGUCAAAUAUAUUUUUCAAAAAUGUGAGCAAAAAACCUGUGACUAUCAAACAAAUCCCAUUAAAAUAAAGCUUCUCUUUCAUUGAUUUUCUCAAACCCCAUCUUAGCCAAUUACUACUGUUCAUGUAUGCAUGCCAAUGGCAUAAAUAAAGCUUUCAUGGAUUUUCUUUUAAAGAGAUAAAAUCCGUAACUUUUCUUUUCCGUGAUGCUAUCACAUUAAUUUUGAUUCAAGAAAAAAAAUGAGUGGAGAUCAGCUUUUUUUCUCUUUCCUUUUUUUUUUUAAUUUCAUUAUUAUUCAUGUUUCUUUUAUUAUAAUUACAAUAUUUUUAUGGUACAAGUUUAAGUUCUUCUUUGUCGAGAAAAACAAAACUUAGGAAAUUCAAUUAUACGGGCUAAUUCGAACGAGUCCUUAGAUUUAUCAUUAGCAAGGUCCUCGAUCAAGUUGGGGGAGCUCUACUAUCAUAUUGAUACCCUCUGAACCACCGUGUACCAUAUUAACAAUCCGAUCUGUAACUUGAUUAGUACAAAUUAGAAAUAAUAUUCAAGUAAAACUCUCUCGAUGUUUAUAUAUUUUAUAUAAGCGUUGACAAGAUGUGCAAAUAUUGUGGGUUAAAUUUGUUAAAUCAAUACCAAAUUGACAUAAUGUGCAAAUUUUAAGAGAUGAUUUUGUUAUUACAUCGAUAUAGUAUAUGUAGAUUUAGAAUUGUCCAUGGGUCGGGUCGAGACCCUAUUCCAAAAAAAGUUUAAUGUCCAGGCCCACUUUUAGGCUGACCCGGUCAGCCCAAAAAGUCCAUUUUAUUGUUCAAAAAAAUAAGAAAAUAAUAUAUUUUUAAUUGAUAUUUUAUAUCUUUUAUAAUUAAAUUUAAAAUAGUAAAUAUUUUUUAUUAUUAUUUAAAUUGAAUUCUUGCUGAGUCAAGGUACAAAAAUCCAUAUCCAAGCUUGACCCAAGUCAGGCCGGGCGGGCUACUUAACCCUUGAAUAGGUCUAUGUAGAAUUGACGUAAAACAUUAAUGUUUUGAUUAAUUGUUCUUAGUUGCUCACUUUCGAAAUUAACAAGGAUGAAACUUGCUUUGACUUUUUUAGAGAGACCGAUUUACUCAAUAUCGAAAUUGAGAGGGAUAAAUGAGGUAUUUUUACCCCACAUAUGCAUGGUUUAAAUAUGCCAUGGGUCCCUGUACUCUUCACAAAUUUAAAAUUUAGUCCUAUACUUAUAUUUCUAUAAAAUUUGUCCCUCUACUUUUUAGAUUUCAUAAUUCAAGUCCAACUAUUAAUAAAAUUAAAUUUAUUUUAUUAAAUUUAGGUUCAUUAUAUUGUCAUUUUGUCAGUUACACUACUGUCAGGUGAUUUUUUAUAAUUUCAAAAUGUCACGCCAACUAAUUUAACAAAAAAAAAAUAAUGCUAACAAUUAGACCUGAAUUUUAAAAUCUAAAAGAUAACAUGACUAAAUUCUUAUAAAUAAAAAUAUAGGGACUAAAUUUUAAUUUUAUUAAGAAUAUAUAAACAUAUGACAUAUUUUAACACACAUAUAUAGAAGGAAAGUGUGACAUUUUGAAAAUGUGGGUAGGCAAGUAUUUGUUGGGUCUAGACCUAUUUAUGGGCUGAGCUACUUGCCUAAGCUCCAAGGCCCGAUUGAAAUUUGGUAGGAUUUGAGUAAAAAUAUUAUGUACGAAAAAUGGAUUUAGACAAAUAAAUAAACCCAUUUAAAAUAUGUUCAACGACUUGAACUACCUUGUUUUCUUAAAUUUAUAAUAUUUUAUAUUAUGUUAUUUUUUUAUAUUAUGUAAUUUAUAACACAAAAAUUAAAUCUACAGUAAUAUAUAAUACUUCUACAAUGUAAACAUUAAAAAUAUUAAAAAAAUUAUAUAUAAAAUUAUAAUAAAUAAAAAAUAUUAAAAUAAAAUAAAAUAAAUAUACAUUUAAAAUAAUAAGAGUUUAAAUUAACUAUUUGUAAAUAUGAUCGGGAUUAAAAGAAUUUUUAAAUUUAUAUUUAAAUUAGAUUUAAUUUUAAAAUAAAAAAUAUAUUAAUAUAAUCCGAAGAUGUACCAUAAACACCUGUAGUUGGGUUUAAUCUUAAAGGCAAACAACACUCGCGGCCUUCGAGUUUAGACCCAUUAAACUAAAGUAUUGUUGCUUGCUCCCCCUUUUCUUCCCACUGCUUAUAAAAUCGCUCUCUGUAUGCCAUCUAGGGUUUCCUUUUCCAUACUCUCUCACAAAUGGCGACAGCCACCAAUGCAAAUAUGGUGGCCAGACACUUCCCUCUUCCGGUGGUUGGCCGCCUGAUCUUGCAGUGAAGCCAAGCGUCCUCGUGUCGAGAACGCCUUUUACGGUGGUUUCUGAUUUAGUGUACUUAUUUUUUUGGUUUCCCUCAUCGUAGCAUGUAUUAUUGUAUAUAGUAGAAAAUGAUUGAUAUGGAUAUGAUGGGUGUAAAGUAAAAGGUCUGAGCAAAAGGGAAAAAGCUUAUGCUGGUAGUUGAUAAUGGCGUCGAAGUUAAAAGCAAAGGGAGAGGGCCCUAGUCCUUGUUUUAAAGUCAUUGCAGUGCGACUCGCGCAACCUCUCCCACAACAAAAUUCAAAUAUGCCUAAAGCUUAUUAGCAAUGGCUGUUGAUAUGGGUUGAAAUAAAAAGGCGUGGGCUGUGUUUUUAGUAUUAAACACUAGCCUAGACUUCUCCCUACAUAUCUAAUCAGUUGCCUCAUCAUAAUGCUUUUUCCCUUUGCGUUUGAUCAAAAAUCUUCAUUGCUGAUCCAUUGCAAUCAAUCGAUUCCCCCCCUCUUGUCGUGCGUCUUUUACUUGUUUUUCAUUAAUUGCUGAGAAUUUUUGAACUUAAUGAUGAUACUUGUAUAUAUGUUCUGAAUUUGAUGCAGUGUUAAGGAGGAUACAUUGAAUUGCAGAUGAAAGGCAUUGGGGUAUUGCAUGUGGGUUAGAUUGUUUUGCUCAAAGCUGUGAAUGGGAGGGUUAGAUCAUUCAAAAUUGAGGUUUAGGAUUUUUGAGUCAAGUGAUUAUGUAUUUCCUGAAUUUGGUCCAUUCAAGUUGAAGUUUUUUGGAUUUGUACGAAGUUGAGGAAACUGUAAAAGCAACCAACUGUUAAUCCAUAUUUGUUGGCCUCUAAUAUCUAUUACCUUAGAUGAAAAAGUAAUUUGAUCUUUUUUGUUAUAAGAUUUCAUCAAUUUAUAUUGUUAAUGGUGGAAAUGGAUCUAAUUUUUAAUAGAAGGAUAAGUUUGUACUUCUUAUAUAUAGUAAAAAGAUUAACUUAUCCAUUUUUUAAUAGAAAGAACAAGACCUCAAUGAAAAAUUGUUUCUUGUAACCUAUCGAUUUGACCCAAACACGUAAUUUCAAACUAGAUUAAUUCGAAUACAAAAUCCGAUUCUAUCCAGUUUGAUCACAAAAAGUUGACGUAAAAGGCUCCACACUCGAGUAUCAAACUCAAAAUGAUUCGAUUGGCUAACUUGAAAAUACCCUAAACUCAAAAAAAUUGAAACUUAGUCCUCAAAAAUCUCUUUUUUCUUUAUGCAAAGCCAAAAUAGUGGCAUUCAAACAAGUUCCUGUAAUUUUUAUCAAAAUCAAAGACCCCUAUAAUCUUGAUGAACAUAGUAAGCUUUUUUUUUUUCCUUUAAUCUUCUGUCUAAAAGAGGCUAUUCCUAAAUGCAAGCACUACCUUUGGUGUCAAUAGUAAGAGAAAUGCCAAUAUCGAGCCGAAGAACAUUUUGACAAGGUAUCUUAAGGGAUCAUAUUCAGCUUCUUCGUCAUUUUCCGUUGAGGCUGACAGGGCUUUUGCUGAUGGUAGAGCUUCGACUACAGCAUCGGCUAAGUCAGUGAUGAAUAAAGAGUUGCAACCUAGAGCAGGAACACGACCCCAAUUCUUGAUUCCGGACUCGAGGGCUAAAUGUUUAUAUUCCAUGUCGAUCUCUUCGAGAGUCUCUAUGUGUUCACUCACAAAGCUGGAAUUUGAGAUGGGAAGUUAAAGUUAAUAUAACUAAUACAUAAACCAGUAUUAAAGCAAAUAUUAUCGAACGAACUCUUCGAACUAACGCACCUUAUAGGAACGGCUAGAAGACUCUUCACUCCUUUUUGACCAAUCUCGACAAGAACUUCAUCGGUAUAGGGCUUUAGCCAUUGGACAGGACCGACUCGACUCUGGGAGGAUAGCGUGAAGAGUAAGUUGAGUAUAACGAUUUCAGUUUUCCGAAGUGAAAGCAGAAACUCGGUUCUAAAACAAACCUGGUAAGCGAGGGUAUGAUCGUUUCCAAUCCCUCUAGCUUUCAGCUCUUGCAUGAUUAAGUAGAUACACUCCUCCAUUUGAUCUUUGUAUGGAUCUCCAGCUUCCUCGACAUAGCUGACAGGUACCCCGUGGGCACUAAAGAAUAUCAUGACCUAAAGUUUGAAGGAAUAUUAGAAACCGUCAUGAUAAAGUUGUUCAGAGGACCAUAAUUUGAGGAUAUCAAAUUACAAUUAACAAAUUUGUGCAACAAACCUCUUCAGGCUUUGCAAAUUUACCCAACUCUUUCUCGAUCAAGUCAGCCAUAGAGUUAAUAUAACCUUGUCGUUGAUACCAUGAAAGAAUGACGGAUACAGGUAGUCUUGAUAAAUAUGCAUCUUCCCUGAAACAUAAACCCGCAUUUCAGAGCCAUUUACGAAGGAGAUAAAGUAAAGGAUGUUUUAAGCAGAAAGGUGCAACACAAAUUAUCGAAAACCUACUUGAAUAUACGUUGGAGAACACGGAUGCUGGAACCGGUUGUGGAGAUGGAGAACUGAGGAUAUAGAGGCAGCACAACGAGCUUUGUUAUUCUGUCCCGCUUAAUCUGUUCCGUUAAAAGAAAAGCUAAGCAAUUUAGACUCGAUGCACUUUGGAGAUAGACCAUUAAGUGUUAAAACGAGAGGUAUAAUUUCAAUUUAUAUGAAUUUCGACGGCAUUUUCAUAUGAUACCAAGAACUUGCACCAAGACAUGUCAAUGUGUUCGUAUAUUACUCAAACUCAAGUGAGAGUUUCUGAUACGAAUUUGUUUUGGAGGAUCCUCGGAGUGUCAUAUCCCAUACUCAUGUCCACAUAUAUGCAUUGACACAGCUACUUCAAGAAAAAUAAAAACUCGGAGCAACAUAAAAUUUUCCUUUUCGAUAUAAUAUCACAAAAGUUCAUAGCAUUACCAAUGAUUAUGAAACUUAAAAACUACGCAAUUUUGGUUGACCAACAAAAUGCCAAACCUGUUCAAUUGCUUCCUCGGUGAAGGGGAACCAAUAUCGCAUUCCAACAUAUACAUUAGCACGUAUGUUCUUUGCCUCCAAAGCCAUUCUAAGAGCAUCCGCCUGCACCCAAAUUCUUGAAGCUAUAAAAUAUGAUAAUCAAAUGCAAACAAUGAAAGCUUUACCAUAAAGCACAAAUCAUAACACAGUUCACUUCAGAACAAAUAUCCAUACGAAAAACAAAAGCAUCAAAGCUAAGAGCAUCCACCUGCAACAAAUUCUUCAAGCUAUAUAAAUACACUUACCAAAUGCAAACAACAAAAGCUUUACUGUAAAGCACGAGAGCCUUAGUAAAAAAAUAUCCAUACAAGAAAUACAAACUUCAAACUAAGAGCAUCCAACUGAAACAAAUUCACGAUACUAUAAAUACACUAAUGAAACACAAACAACAAAAAAAUAAAACAAAAGCUUUACCAUAAAGCACGAACCGGUAACAUUGUUCACUUCGCAAUAGAUAUACAUAAAACAAAAGCUUCAAGCUAAAGGCAUCCACAAUACCAUAAAGCACGAAUCAUAAACAGUUCAGUUUGGAAGGAAGAAUAUAUCCAUACAAAUAACAGAAACUUCAAACAAAAAGAAUCCAACUGAAACAAAUUUUUGAAGCUAUAAAUACACUAAUGAAAUGCAAACAAUGAAAGCUUUACCGUAAAGCACAAAUCAUAACAUGGUCCACUUCGGGGGGAAAAAACAUCAAGCUAAGAGCAUCCAACCAAAACAAAUUCAUGUAGCUAUAAGUAAACUAAUGAAAUGCAAACAACAUAAGCUUUUACCAUAAAGCACAAAUCAUAACACGGUCCACUUCAGGGAAAAAACAACAUCAAGCUAAGAGCAUCCACAUCUAAGAAAUUCUUCAAGCUAUGAAAUACAAUAAUAAAUGCAAACAACAAAAGCUUUACCUUUAAGCACGAACCAAAAACGUCAUUCAGUUCAUAACAAAUUCACUUUCAUACAACACUAUCCUAGAAUCAAGUAACAUGCCAAUUUUUCUACAAUGAAGGAUUUCUAUUCUUGCCUGUUCAUCGGUUAUUUUACGCAAAGGUGAACCGCCACCGAUAGCAGCAUACCCUUCUUUGCUCUUAGGAGCUCUAAGAACAGAUAUUAACUUUGCCAAUGGUCGUUGAAGAAACCUCAAUAGCCGAGGCAACCGUAUAAUAUCCUACAUAAAACAAACAUUAAUCACACCAUUGAAACUUAAAAUUAAAACCCCGAAAUGUUUAUUAAAAGGAUCAAAGGAGACCUAACAUACAGGAUCAGCAAACAAGUUAUACAAAAAGGGUUGAACAUCAUUAAGUGUCUCGGGACCUCCAAGGUUCAAAAGCAAGACCCCAAGUUUCUCUUCCACAAUAUGUGAGUGAUGAGAUUCCAUAACAUUUUCAGGGAAAGUACAAACACCCAGAGCGCAAUUCAUUUGUAGCCUCAAAUUUCUCUUUUGAAUUUGUACAUUACUGAGAUUGGGUCCUUUGAAAACGCUAUGAUUUUGAGUAUUCAAAUCAGAAUUUGAGAAAUAGCGUGACCCAGAAGCAAUAUAUCUGCGCCGAUUAAUCGACCUGGAAAAUAAAGCAAAAAAAAAAUUGGGAAACAAAAACUUCAUAUAUAAAUCUUUGAUCAAAACCCAGAAAGAAACAAAGGGCUAACCUUGAAAAUCUGUAAUUACGAUGGAAGAUAUUGGAUCCAGAUAAAGAUGCUGCUGCUGCUUCCAUGGUUUAUUGAUCUGAAGAACUAUUUCUCUUUGGGAUAGAAAAGAGCAAAAGAAAAUGAUAAAAAAGAAAAAUCAAUGGAAACUGGGUUUUAGGUGGAAUUCUGCGGGGUUAGUUGAGAAGAAAAUGGAGAAAUUCUUAUUAUGAAAAAAAAUCAAAAAGUCAAAUCAAUACAACUACGGUCUACGGUCCCAAUGAGUAACACGUAUUGUUUAAGAAAGUUAAGAGCUUUAUUAGUGUUUUUAUUAAGACGUUCAAAGGUAGGCUUUUUAAUGUGAUGGAGAGGCCUAAACCUCCAUAGCUUCCUAUGAAGCUCAAAUGCUACGGCACUGCUUCUCAUUUUAUACUUUAUAUAUAUAUAUAUAUAUAUAUUCCCAAUUUUUUGGAAUUUUUCAGCACCCAAGCUUGAUUUUUUUUUUUGCAAGCAUAAGUUAACUUAUAUUUCAUAUUAUGAUCUUAUUAUUGAAUAUUUUAAGUAAAAUUAUAAGCUUUAAGCAAAAAUAAUAAUAAUAAUUAUAAGCACUAAAUAUCUAUUCAAAUUAACUAUAAAUAAGAAUUAAAGAUUACAUGCCACAAUCUGAUUAAUAAUUGGAAUUAUCCAAAGUUAAAUUAUAAUAAGUCUUUGAGAGAACUUGUACACAAUACUGACUUUAGAAUUUUUUUUAGGGUUAUCAGAAUUGAACUAUAAAUUGUUGAGAGAUAGGGUGUUUAAUAAAUAGAGUUCUAAAUUUUUUUUAAUUGAUUUAGGCACAAAUAGAGAAUUAGGUAAUAAAACUCUCUAAUUAUAAUAUUUGGUAAAUGGAGGUUUCCAAAAACUUAAUAAUAUUUUAGCUCAACGACUUUUUGCAAGCCUUUAAAACAAAAAAAAAAGAAAAAAAAGUAUAUAUAGAUAUUUUUUUUCACAACUGACUUAUUUUAAAUAAUUAAGCUUUUAUUAAUUUUAAUCAUAAUUCGGUAAAGGUGGAAAGUUUUUUUUAUAAAUAUUUCUAAAAAAAAUAAACUUAUCAAUUAAAUAAAUAAUAAUUAAUAAAUAUCAUAUAAUAGUUGUUUUGAAACAUAAUUUUUUAAUUAAAAUCAAAUAUAAGAAAAAACGAAGAAGAAAAUAAGAGUGACCAAAAUGAAAAUUUAUUAAAGCUAAGUGACUAAAAUAUGUGUACAAUAACAUCGCCUAACCCCAAACAAAUAACAAAUGACUAAAAUAAAAAGAUCUAUAAGAACAAUACCCUUAUUGCAAAAUUCUUAUUUCAAUGCCUAAAAUAAAAACUUAUAAAAAUUAAGUGACCAACUAUAUAAUUUACUCAUUAUUAUAUGAUUAGUUGAUAGGAUAAAAUCUAUGGUAAGCUAUACAAAUGGUCAUUAUUAAGUGACCAACUAUAUAAUUUACUCAUUAUUAUAAAAAAAACCUCUCUCGAUUAACAAGUCAUUUUUCGAGUUAAUUCCUGACACCAAUGGGUUUAUAUUGAAACUUUAUUUUCUUUUUCUUUUUCUUUUUCAUUAGUUUUCUUCUAAAUAUAAUAUUUUAUAACCCUUUAAUUGAUAAAAUUUUGUCUAAAGAAAAUGGAAAAACCUUAAAAAAAAUACUUUAGAUUUACUCUUGUUGUUAACGUUAUGAUAUUUCCUUCAAGGUACAUAGAAAUAAUCCUAGAAGUUGGCCUUUGAAUUUGGAAAUAAAAUCCAGAGUUAAAAAAUAUAGCUUUGAAAAAUCCAAUUGUUCAAACAAUAAUUAUAUAAUAAAACAUUAUGAACAUUUAAAUUUUCAUAAGAAAAAAUGUAAAAGAAUUAAUUGAUAGUGUUUUUUAAUUUUAUAAAUCGAUUAAGAGAUUAUCAUGUAUUCUAUUUCUUAUUUAUUUUUAAUUUUUAAAUCCAUAAUAAAUAAUACGUAUCACUAAUAACAUAAUUUAGAGUUAAAUUAUUUACCAAUGGAUUAAAAACAAAAAUUAUUUUUUACAAAUAUUAAAUUUUUAUAUAAUUUUAUUAUAUAUUAUAUAUUUAAAAAUUGUAUUUUCUAUUAUUUUUAAUUAAUUUCUAACUUUAAUUUCUUAAAAACAUAAACAAAAAGGGUUAUGUACCGAAUUGGAUAAUUUCAACUAUAAAUAAAGACAAUUAAUAGAUGUUGAAUGUCUCUGUUUUAAGAGCUAAAAGUUUUGGUUAGAAAGUUUAAGGAUCAAAUUGAUAGAAUUUAUAAAUAUGAAGGGAUAAAUUUAUUGAAUUGUUCAAAAUUAGGACCAAAUUGAUAUAAUAACUAAGAAUUGAGGACUAAAUAUGUUAUUAUACCAGUUAAGAAAAGACUUUCCAUUAUCAAUUUAGAACAAAUUUAAAUACUAGUGCCUAAAUUGAAAAUUUGUAAAGUUGAGUGGCCAAAACAAAAACACAAGCAUAAUUAGGUGACCAUUUGAACAAUUUACCCUAAAAAUAUAAAACAUUCUAUACCAGAUUAGAUUAUAUAUAAAACCACAAGCAAUUGUCAGAGAACAAUUAUCUUUUCGUCUCGAACCGAAAAAAGAAUUAUCGGAACUCGGAAGUGCGUACCCACAAAGCAGUUCUCCAGAUUUAGAAGUUAGAACUUAGAACCAAAAUUAUAUAUAUAUUUUUGGUAAAGUUUUUAAAUCGCUUUAAAAUUAAAAAAAGAAAAAGAAAAAGGUUUUGAAUGAUCAGUGAUAGCGGCACACACACACAAAAAACAAGGUAGUGGACACACUAACUAGCAUUAUUGCGAGAACAACACAAAAACACUGAAAGGGUAAAUUCGGCUUCACAAACAGAUCAAAAUUUCAGAUGAAAGUAACAUAGUUGUAGAGAAUGUAGCUGUUUUUUAUUGUUUGGCUGCAGAGAAAACGCAAGAAAAUAUAGUAAAGGUCCUAACAGAGUUGUAUAUGAAGAGAAAAUAUCUCUCAUUAUACUAAUAAGAACAUUAUUACUCCAUAAUAAUACUGAAUAUAAUUGAAAUCCAAAACAUCAACCAUAUCGAUAAUCUUGGAUGUGCAAAUAGCAUAACUACCUCACUUCAUAUAUAUAGAUCUGCUACUAGAACUAAAAUUCAAAGCAAAUUUGAAAAGAGUAUACAUAUAUAAAUGAGAAACCGAUGCACUCUCUACAGCAUCCAUAGCUGGAGAAGUAAUCACCGGCGACAAAUUAACAGCAUAACUACGUCACUUCCAUAUAAGAUGUAUAAAAAGCGAAAAUAUCUCUAAUUAUACUAAUAAGAACGUUAUUACUCGUAAUAAUAUUCAACAUAAUCAAAAUCAAAACAUCAACCAUAUAAUAAUCUUUGAUGAGCAAAACAGCAUAACUCACUCAUAUAUAUAGAUCCGCUACUAGAACUAAAAUUCAAAGCCGACUUAAAAUGAAUUAUAUAUAAAAAUGAAAAUCCGAAACACUUUCUAGAGCAUCCAUAGCCGUAAACUCAUGGAAACGCCGUAACAAGAUGCAUCAUACUCAGAGCACGAGAGUGGAGCCGAAGAGCAGAGCCACGGCGGCGGCGAAAACAGAGACGAAUGAGGGAGUGAUAGAGCCGGUUCCUGAGGUAGGACUUGGAGCUGGAGCUUCAGCAGCCAUGGCAGAAGCCAUUAGAGCAAAAACAGAGACGAAAACAAGCAUCAAAACAUUCAUGGAGGAAGCCAUUUUUUGAUGAAAAUUUGAAAUUCUCUCUUUAAGCGAUCAAUCUAAAGGAAGAAAAAUAUUUGAAAUUUUUUGAGGGCAGUGAGAGGCGUGAGACAGGUGGGGUCGGUAUAUAUAGAGGGAAAGUUCGGGCAGCUGCCUGGAUUUCCAGCGUGGUUAGAGUUGGCACAUUUCAAGGGGCUUCUUUUUUGGGGGCAAAAUCCAAGGGGCUUCCUUAAUUUGGUUAAUUGCGUAUAAAAUUUCCAUUUACAGAUUUCGGGUAAAUGUACGGCCGAGGGAUAAGGGUAAGAUUGUACUUUCUCAUUCUUAAUUCAAAAAAUAAGUAAAUUAAUUUUAAUUUCUGUAUAUUAGACUAAAGUAUAAAUUUAUAAUUUUUAUUAAAAAUAUGCCACGAGAUAUAGUGACUAGUUUUUAAAAGUUAACUUUUUAAUUUAAUAUAUAUGGACCGAUUUGCCCAUUUUUUUAAUAAAAUGAACAAAAUAUAAUCUAACUCCCAAUAUAAAAAUUUUUAUAAUACUUUUACCUUUCACAGUAAUUUUUUUGGUAUGUUAAAGUUUUCACCAUUAAUAUUGGUUAUGUUUAUUUCAAUGACAAUGACUUUAUAGAGAAAGAAAUUAUAGUUGGUAGGAUUCACCAACCGUUGACAUGAGCAAAUCACAAACACAGUCAUAUCAUUGACAGUUAAUUACAUGAUGUGUGGGCCUUGAUUAAUGUACUAAUAGUUGGCGUUCAAACCAAAGAAGUACCAAUGGUAUCGGCUGGUACAUCUCAUACCAGUAGUAAAACGGAACCUCAGGGUAUACAUUCUAUUCCGGUAAAGUUUCCGGCCAAUAUGUUUCGUCAGAUUUCCGGUAAAGUAUCCGCCCGGAAUGCUAGAACUAGAAUUUGUGGCUUUGUUUUGUUGGUAGUUUGAUGGUUUCUCGGGUUUAUGAGUUUAUGCUAUAAGCUUUAAGCUCUUUCGAUGGCUUAAAAAAAGAAAUAAUGAAAUAUAAACCGAUACGAAUGUCAUCAAAUGUGAGAUUAUUUUCGCUCAACAUACCUUAAUUAUAAGUUGAUAUAUAUAGUUUAUUAUCUCCAAAUAACUUCAUACAAUGAUUAGAUUUGAAUAAAAUGAGCAUAAUUUUAUUAGAGAAAAAACUGAACAGACCAAAAGAAAAGCCUUUUCAUUCUCCUUUUUUCUCAGUGGAGAAUAUAAGAAUAAAAGACGAAUCAAAAUCGUGUGGGAUUUUUUUAAAUUUAAACGAUUCUUUAUAAUAAUAAAAAGCAUGAACUUAAAAAGGUACAAAAAAAAAAGUUCAAGAAAAUAUAAACCAUUAAAAAUGGUUAUCAAACAGCAUCAACUUUUCGUCUCGAAUCCACGAAGUGCGUAACCACGAAGCAAAUUUCCAGGUUUAGAAGUUAGAACCGAAAUUGAAUUUUUGGUAAAGUAUUUAAAGAUGCUUUAAAAUUUAGAAAGAAAAAGAAAAGAAAAGAAUGUUUUGAAAGAAUAGUGGUGAGCAAGCACUAACUAGCAUUAUUGCGAGAAACGUGAAGCAAUGGAAGGGUAAAGUUGACUUUAAAAUCUGAACAAAUUUCAGAGGGAAGUAGAAUAAUCAGUAGCGUGCAAUGUAACAUAAUUGUAGAGAAUGUAACUGCUUUAAUUGUUUGGCUGCAGCGAAAACGCAAGAAAAUAUUCAAAACUACGUAAGAAACUAUGAAACAAAACGGAGAAUAUAUAUAAAAAGUGAAAAUACCACUCAUAAUACUAACAAAAUAAUUGAAGUCCAAACAUCAACAAUCAAAUAAUCUUUGAUGCACAUAAUUACAUCUCUCUCAUAUUAUAUAUAGAAUCAUCCCUUAGAUCUACUAUUAUUAUUGAAAUUCAAAGCCGAAUAUAUAUAUAAAUCCAGGAGCCUCUCUACAGCAACCGUAGAAGCCAUAACAAGGUGCAUCACCUUCAGAACCGGAGAGCGGAGCCGAAGAGCAGAGCCACGACGGCGAAAACAGAGACGAAUGAAGGAGAGAACGAGCCGGAUCCCGACGUAGGACUUGGAGCUGGAGCCUCGGCAGCCAUGGCGGAAGCCAUUAGAGCAAAAACAACUAGGGAAAGAAGCAUCAGAAAAUUCAUUGAGGAAGCCAUUGUUGAUUGGUUACUGAAAAACUUGAAAAUUUUCUUUUUAAGCUUUAAAUCAAAAGAAAAUUUUGCGGGUAGUGAGAGUUGUGAGAUAAGUGGGGUCGAUAUAUAGAGAGGGAAAGUUCGGGCAGCUGCCCGGAUUUCCAGCGUGGUACAGUUGGCAUUUUCGAGGGGUUUCCUUAAUUUCGUCAAUUGUUUAUACGUGUGUAAAAUUUUCAUUUAGCGCCCCA
This 76720-nucleotide long non-coding RNA is filed under the name Gossypium raimondii (Peruvian cotton). Its description in RNAcentral is "long non-coding RNA (GRAI_LNC003328)". The stretch from base 59212 to 59353 matches the Rfam family "MIR7502 microRNA precursor family". Lineage: Eukaryota; Viridiplantae; Streptophyta; Magnoliopsida; Malvales; Malvaceae. The record is from RNAcentral.